UCUGUGUUUACUUACUUAGUUUAAUUUCUUAACUCUUCAUAACAGCAACUUUAACGCAGUAAAAAACUAAACUGUUUGCCUGCAGUGUUAAGAAGUAGGACUGUAUGCUGCCGUCCUAUGACCAAAGUCUGCAGCUGCCUGUGGUGACCCAGUGAGUGACUUAACAAUACCACCAAAGAAUAUUUGCAUUCACUAUAUAGAGAUUUUACAGCAAUAAUGAGUCAGAAUGUCUACCACCUGGUUACCAUGGUGAUGCAAACGUUUUACUUCGCAGCAGGUGUAGCCCUUAAGGUUCUUACACACCAGGAAUGACGCAAAUAUAUGGCUUGUCUGUUCUUGGAGGAUCCUAUAGACCUCAGUGCUCGCAUUGUCCGAGGAGCACUCCAGCGUGCAAGAGUUUUCAGGGACCACACGGACCCACUUACAUUUCCGGAUGACCACCUUUAUGAAAGGCUCAUAUGGCUUACAUAUCACACAAAAAUGUAAACACAAUAGGAAUGAACAAAUGAAUGAAUUCAUCUUGGAAAUGAAUCAGACAUGUCUGGUGCAUGUUAAAAGUGCAUGUUGAACAGUGCUAUUUCAGGGUGAUAAUGGCAUCAAAAAUAUAUUUACGCAUUGAGACUGUCUGCAAUUUUCUGCCAGCAUUCCUUCCGUACUUUUGCAGCGGCGACGGUGUUACUUUUGAGGUUUAUGAUAGAUUUGAAUUCUUCAUACUUUCUCAUGAUCGUCUCCAGCUCCUCGUUUGUAAAGUCUGCGGUCCUUCACUCUCUGGUCUGCUCUGACGCUCCAGACUGGUCCAUGUUCGCGAUUGGUCAGAUGCGGCAGGCUCCGCCUUACAUGCGUGCACAUGCUCAUAGCAAAGCUGGAUCCACUUACGAGGUUGAUAACCAGCGUCGUAAGACUGUUUAGCGAGACUGCUGGCUACCAUGGUAAGUUAAGCGAGGUAGCUCCAAGGCUAGGUUGAACUUGCUUUGUAGAACAGACCCCUAAUGGUGCUGUGACAGCAACGCAAUUGAGUUGUACUGAGUCGGGGCCAGUACCAGAUAAGCACAUUAAACUAUAAUCCAUAAACGUAAGGUACAACCGAGACUUAAUGGUGCUGUGACAGCAACACAAUUGAGUUUGAGACAGUGAAAAUACAUAUGGUAUGUUGUAUCUGAACAGGUUAGCUUAUGAGCUAAAGUUACUUAGCACAGAUGAAAGUUAAAACAAAGACGUUUAGCAAACUGUUAAAGCACACAAACCAUCGUUAUAUGAGAAAUCCGACGCUAUGACUCUCCACAAGUUGUCCUUCAAGUCGUUAUCUUUGUAAUAUUUGUGUCUUUUAUCAAAAAGCACUCUGUUCUCCAACACAUAAACAAUCAGCCGGUCGGCCAUGUUGGAUAAACCAGUGAAUCUGACGUUGUAACAACACAAAAUCUGAUUGGUCAGAAGUGGACACACAGUAUGCGAAACUUUAGAAAAAUCGGCUGUGAUCCGAAAAAAUAAAUGCCGCAUAUUGCAGGACGGGGAAAACGUCACUGAUGUGAACGCUUGUAUUGACAGGAUACGGGUUCAAAAAAAAAAAUAUUGACGUCCAAAAUAAUCGCACGAAAAAACGGUCCCAGUGUGAAAGGAGCUUUAAAUGAAGACAAAAAAAAAAAGCCAUGUCUAAGUUCAUUAGUCCAUGCUCAUUUAAAUCCGAUACUGUGUGUUUUAGACAGAUUUUUACUGACUUCAUCACAAAAGAAUUUAUAGGUUUGCAUCACAGCCAUUUAACCUUGUCGCUACCUGAUCCAUCCCAGAAAGAUGUUUAGCAAACUGUUAAAUUUAUUAUUUUUGUAAUAUUUGUGUCUUUUAUCAGAAAGCACUCUGUUCUCCGACACGUAUACAAUCAGCCUCUCAGCUGUGUUGGAUAUACCUGUGAAUCUGAGGUCGCAACAACACGCAUUCUGAUUGGUCAGAAGUGGACACACAGUAUGCAAAACUUUUGAAUAUUCGACUGUGAGCCGAAAAAAUAGAUGCCGCAAUAUCGCAGGUUGGGAAAACGUUGCUGAUGUGAACGCUUGACAAGAUACGGGUUCGAGAAAUAAUUUUGACCCCCGAAAUAAUCGCAUGAAUAAAAUGCUCCCCAUGUGUAAAAAGGACCUUAAUCAUUUCAGGUGAUUGUUUACAUGCAGAUAUCCAAAGUAUUUGCAACUGUUGAUUAAUUUUUUUUCAGUUUACUUUCUUGUGUUGCACACACAUGUUCAAAAAUAUAUAUAUAAAAUAAAAAUAAAUUAAAAUAAAAGUUUGUGUUUGGAUCAGAAACCUCUGUCACAAGAUUCCUCACACAUUUAUGCACUUUAGCAGCGACUCUGGUCUCGUCUCUGCUAUUUGAGAUAUGAUGAUUUCAGUCCUGUUCAUUGCAGGUUAUUGAUAGACUUUGUUGGUAGUCUAUCAAUGCAGAGUGCAGAGUAUGCACAAUUUCUGCAAGUGAUGGUUCAAACUGCUCCCUGUAUGCUGUGUCUGAACCUCAGUGUCAAACAGUCCAUGAUGCACUGUAGUUAGGAUUUUAUACAAAAAAUUAAAUGCAUUAAAAUGAGAUCUUUGCAUGAACAGUAUUUGCAAAAAUGCUAAUUAUAUUUAAGCUAGCUGAAAAAUGGUCGAAAUAAGGACUUGGAUGUUUAAAGCUGAUUUUAUCCACUGUAAUUUAAAAUCUCUGGUAUUAAAUAAGCUUGAGUAUCUGAGGUGUUCUGCUGAAACUCUCAAAUCUUUCCGUCUAUAUUCAAAGCUUUACUCUCCAAAACUUUUCCCUACCAGUUGCCAAACCACAGAUGCAACAAAGUUUGCAGAUAUUUGAUUCUGAUUAGUCCAAACCACAUUGUGACAGUAACUGAUUGGACUAAAAUCAUACUGCUGUAGUUCCUCUGUGCCUUGCCUCUCGCUCUUUGAGUUCUGAUCCGACUCUGAGCAUCAUGUCGGCGCUGUGGGAGCCGGCUGGGUCGAUGGAAGCGUUUUUCUUCUGGACCGUCACCUGCAAAGACGUCAAUACACACGACACGAAAUAACCCCUGCUGUUUGUGCUAAAGACCCACUCUGCAACACAUUAAUGCUGUUUAAUUUUAUUCAUAGUGGUGUGUGUAGAGUUUUAUAAUCAGGGUGAGGGAGGAGAGCCAAAGACAAGAACAGCAGAGUUACAGUUUGUCUCCAGAGGAGCUGAACUCUCUUCAGUCUGCAGAUAUCUGCGCACAGCUCAGAGAGGAAAUCUUCCUGUAUUAUAGCGCAGGGAAAUAAGAACUUUAUAAGUUUAAUAUCCGGAGGCUCAGUUAAAGAUUAAAAUACUGUAAAACUGUAAGAAAAAAAAAGUGCAGAGAAGAGGGAGAUGAAAAGUAAGAUUGUGACAAGAGUUUUAACAUUGUGGUAACAAGAAAGAAAAGACCAGAGACAGACUUUUAUUUUGGAAAAAAAAGCAACAAAAACUGUCAAAGUUUUGUUGGUUUUGAAAUCAUGAUAACCUUUCACUUUAUUUCCAAAACCAUUGAGGAAAAGCUGGCAGGGAUCAUUGGGGAAUCCCUCCUGAGCGGUGUGGUGACCGAGGCAGAGGGGGACAUACAAGCACCAAAUGUUCCAGGAUGAAGAUAAACGUAUUCGCUUGUUUAAAAUAGUAAAAAUGAACUUGUACAGUAGGAACACAUUUGGAACAUAAUUCACAAUAAUUUACUUUAUUCAAGACUAAAUGAUAUUCUUUUCAGUUCCUGGGUGUUCCAGUUGGUUCGGUGGUACUGCAGCUGUGCCAGGAGAGAGUGAGGCCGGUGACUUCACAGCACUUGGUGCGCCCUCCUGAUGUAGCCGUGUUCUCACAGACACAGUCCAGCAAGCCCAGAGGGACACAAUCACAUCCAAUAAUGAAAAGGUCAAGUUUCCAGACAUCAAAAGCGUCUUGACAGACAUUAAUAUCAUCAAGUGUUCUAUUUAUACAAGUUUUCUCUUGGUUUUAUUUGGGUGCAUUUUGUAUGUUUCCCCAAGUGUCCCUGUCCCCCUGUAGUCCAGUCUUAUGAGUUUUCAGUUUGUGUUUUCCUGUUUUCCUCUUGUUCUCAGUGUUUUAUUCUUUCAAUCAGUUUUCAGUGUUUAUUUUUCUGUUUUAUUUUGUAGUAGUUGAUUCCUUGUGUUUCUAGUCUGGUUUUACUUCCCUAGUUUUCCCUCCUUCGUUAAUUAGGUGAGUUUCACCUGUGUCUCGUUUGCCUCGCCUGAUGCUCGUUUGCCUCACCUGUUGCUCGUUUCCCAGUGUGUAUAUAUAGUCCCUGUCUUCCCCUUCUGUCUUUGUUGGUUCAUUCUGCCAUGGUCCAGGGUUAAACAAAAAGAAAAAGGACCCAAAUGCAGAGCAAAGGAUUUAUUUAAAAAAUAAAUAGGUAAAUGAAAAAAACCACAAAAAUAUUUUUCAAAAUGUCCAAUUAAAAAAUCACAAAGGCAAAAUCAAACGACAAAACACUUGGGAAAAAAUCCCAAGGAGACUUGGGACUUAAAGAUCCAGGAUCACGUGGAACAGGCAGACAUGACACACAUACACACACAAUGAACCAACCAAGACAGAGGGGAAGACUAUACACACUGGGAAACUCACCCACUCACUCAUGACAAUUAAUGCAACACUGGUGAACAAAUAAACAUUUUUUUGCCUCUACCUUUUCUGUUUCACAUGUGAUGUAUCACCUCCAGCAGCUGGCAUACAGCAGCAGUAUUUCCUUCAAACACAAAAGGAUGGGGGUCGACAUCAGAUGCAACAUUAAAAUCAGGUAGUAGCAGCACAUUCUCCUUUUGUGCCAUGUUGUGAAGCACAGCACGCGCUCUCUCUAUCUAACACACAUAUGCAGGUGUGUGGUUAAAGGUGGGGUAGGCAGGAUUCCCUGAAAGAAGCAUCUUUUUUGUGGUGUAUAUACAAAAAAGCUUUUAGUAUCAGUCAAUAGCUAUGAGUUAUUGAUGACAUUUGGUACAUGACAUUUGAUAUCACUGUGUUUUGUUAUGUCUGUGUAGUCAACGGCUGUGUCCGAAAUGGAGCCCUAACCACUAUAUAGGCGACUAUAUGGGGGUUAGCGCCAUUUUUAGGGGUGUAGAGUGGCCAUACGUCUUCUACUCAGACACUUUUUUUGGGGGGCUGUCUGGUCUUGUCCAGGAGUAUAUAAAAUCCUUCAAAUGUCCGAGGUUUUGUAUGAAAGAUUUUAGGUUGUGUAGCGUUUUUUGCUUUAAAAUUUACCAUGCGCGACUCCACGACUCUGCCCCGCAUAGUAGUGUCCUCUUGUUGGGGAUUCAGAAUAUGGUCAUCCUACCAGAGGGCCCACUGUGUCCUUGUUUGGCUGACACAUCCUGUCAGGUUAGGGGGAAUUAGGACGCCAAUGCUGACCUUGAGGCUCUACAAGUUAUUCCAAAGAAAUCGCUUGAGCAACCAGGGGAAAAAAAAUAACCCGAAAUAAAAAUGAAAAAUGACUACGCUCCUUUUAUUGAAUCAGGUUUUGCAAGAAAUACAAGGAAAUAUAACCACCGCUGCCAAGCAACAAAAAAAAUAAUUUGGACAUUUUUAAGAAAUAAAACACUUUUUAAAGAGAACUCAAAAAACAAAUUCUUGUGUUGCCUAUGGUUGUCAUUCCAACAUAUAAAAGAAAGAGAGAGAUCCACUCUCAGCCACAGGAAGCAGGGAAAUGAGUCACACCUGCUCCCAGUCAGGGGCAGUCAGGCUCACACACUUGAUUCUGCUCUGUGCUGACUCGUGGGCCAAAAUGAGUGUCCAUCACACAUAAGUGUAAUACUAGGAAGAUUUCAGCUCCCUGCAGACUCUUGUGUAUGUUUUCUGUCUGUGAGUCGGCAGCUGCAGAGCAGACCGGCUCUCUGUCUGCAGGGGGUUCAGGUCUAAACAAACAGUUUGAUCAUGUAGAGACGAUCUGAUGAUCUCUCAGAGGAGGAGAAGAGCGUUUCGGCACUAAGAGCAUACACGUUAAAUUAUACAAACUUUGCUUUCCAUUGUGAGAAAUAAAGCACCAAAAGAAAUGGAGGAAAAUCUCCAGAGUCCCCGCUGCAAUAAAAGCUCCAGUAUUAUUUAAGACUGCGUGUUGGACGGCCAGACUUUUAGUUUGAGUCUUUUCCCAGCUGGAUCCAAAACACCGGGUGGUACAGAAGAAUAAAAACCUUUUCUGUUUUUAUUCUCCCCUCUUCUUUCUGAACUCCAUCACAGUCUGCGGGGAGAGUCAGCACAUGAAAACACUCCUCUUUUCAUGGACAAAGUGUUUGAUUGAGCUUCUAUGUGGUGAGAAUUUCUGUCUUCAGGGCUCCCUGUGUAAAUAUGAAAGAAAAACAUUUAACUGUGUUCGAUGGAAAUGCACACCGAUGUUACAAGUAGUGCAAAUAAAUACGGUUUUAGGAUUUGUAUAGUGACUUUAAAUUGGAGGUGUGUUUAGAUGAAUACAACAUUUAUUCACUGCUAUUGUCCCUUGGAUGUACUUCUUUGAAACAAGAUAAUUUUACUGCUUAGUGCGUAAAAACGAGGAUUUUACAGUCAAUAAAGAUGUUUCACAUGAGCAGAUUUAAUAUUUUUCUUGAGUGAUUAUCAGACACAACCAUUUUUCUGUGGUGGAUGAUUUGCAAAGAUUCAAUGAGGUGAGUCGUGCUGCAAAAGUUGAAACAAUAACAAUUCAAACACAUACAAAAGACCAAAGAAAGGCACUUUUUGGUUUACACUGGUGUUUUUGGCUUUUUGCAGCACUUUUUUACUUUGCAGUGCAUAUCAACAAUUGCAUUUAUCCUGGACCCAUGCAUGUGUUUUUCAGUUGUAUUUUUUUCUACAUUUGCAGCACCGACACAGAUUGCUCAGGCUGUUGCAGAUUAUGAACUAAGAUAACUUGACUAAUGGAUCGUUUUGACAAAAGAGCAUUUUUUAAACAUGUUGGCAUUAAGGUCCUUACACACCGGGGCCGACGCGAAUGUAGAACGCGAAAUUACGAAAUAUUCUGAGGCGAAUUUUCACAUCAAGUCCAAUGCCUUCGCCUCUGAUUGGCUAGAAAAGCUGGAAACGUCAUCACACACUUGAGCCAAAUGGUCAGCACUUAUGGCCAAUCAGAGGCGAUAAGAUAAGCACUAUAACAACCGUUAGCUUACGUUAGCACAGAUGAAAGUUAAAACAAAGACGUUUAGCAAACUGUUAAAGCACACUGUUUAAAAGUGGGCGGGAGUACUUUCCUUGAUAGACAGACUACUGUAACCAAUCACCGUAACCAAACAUCUGACGUCAUCACAGUGCGCAACUGUGUUCCCUGCUGGGCUCUCAAGCAUCAAGUAAAGGUUUGGUAAUAUUUCAACGCGUGCAAGCAAACAAUGUCUUUUUUGUCUUCUUCUGCGGAUAAAAACGAUUUCUGCUGACUUUGCAAAGUCAACUGCAGAAUUAACGGCGUUCUGAAUUAAUGGCACUUUGAAAAGUGGGAGGGAACGGCAAGUGAUUCACGCAACUGGACGGUCCGGCCAGGCUAGAGAAUUCAAGCAUCUUCCCCUGAAUGUUCUUCUUUCUGACUGGCCAAUUUUGAUCACAUGGUCAAAAGUGAGGGCAGCCAUUUUGCUCUGAAGUUUGUUUUCUAGCAGGAAGGUGCAGCAGAACUCUCUCUGUUUGCCCGUAUGGAGCAUCAGAAACUCUCUGACAGCUAGUUUAUAUUUCGUGUUCAGAGGGGGAUUUAUUCAGGAUCAGGAGGGAUUUAUGGAGUUUUACUGAACUCUUAAAUGCAGUUACUUGUUCAUUUCUACAUUCUGCUGAUAAUAUGAAAAACAUUUCCUGAGUAUUUACCUUCAGUUUUAUCUCACAAAACAAAGCAAGACACACAAGUUUUUUCUUUUUUUUUUUCAGCUCACUGCAGACGGCUCUGCUUUUGCUUUGAUGUCAGACUAUUGGGUUAAUCAUUUAUCUGAAACUUUUCAGUUUGCAGAGUAAAAAAAAGUUUUACCCUUAAAAGUUUUCUUUCUGAAACACCUGGGACAUGAAGGUAUUAUUAGUCUGAUGGUAAUCUUUUGAAACAAACUUAGAUUUAUUUAGAUUUUAGAUAUAUUCUAGAUAGGAAGUAUUAGUUUUGGCAUUUGGGAUCUUGACAUAAUCAACAUUUUUAUGAGACUCUGCAGAUUUUAAACAGCUCUCGCUUCUGUUAAAUAAGAAAACUUCAUUCAGACUCUUGUGGUUGAUUCCCAGGUUGCUGGUCACGCCCCUUGUCUACUUCUACUUGUCAUCAUCUAUCCCGGUCAUUGAGUUAUGGUCAUGUGACCAUGCAAGUUUGCGCCGCACAUGCAAACACACACAAAUGCUCCAACAGUCAGAGCAGCUGUUGAACUCUGCAGGCAGAAUAAUGAAAAAGCUGUUUACUGAACUUUUAAUAAUUCAACUCACCGAUUAUAGAAUCAAUAUCAUGUUGAAUCCAUAAUAUGAAAUUAAAAAACAUGUAUUAAAAUUGAGCAUUGAAGCUUUAACUCACAGUCCGUCUGUGUCACUGCAGCUCUGCAUGUUUUAUUCAGUACCUGUGUUUGCAAAAUCUCCACAAAAAUCCAGUUUUCUCUUUUUUUUUUCAUCAUUUAUUACAUUUCCUCUGUUCUUUUCUCUCCUCUGUCCUUGAUUAUGCAAACUCAACACAGUGCUGCUCAGUUGAUUGGCGGCAUACUUUGGACGCUUGCAUGUAUCAAGGGCUUCAUCUGAAUACUCAGGGGGGGUUUGUGGCCGAGUUUGAAUGCUUGUCAUGGGUUUAUUUUGAGGUUUUGUUUAAGGAUGUUUAUUUGGCAUGUUGACAUGGUAAUUAAGAUAAAAACGUCAUUGAAUGAACAGCCUUUGAUGAGGAAAUUAGCCUUCAACAUUUUGAUCUACCAUUGGGUUAUUUUCUUUUACUUUAAAAUCAUGUUUUGAGUUAGAAUCCACCCGCGUGUGACAAGUUUAUAAGACUCACUCAGAAGUUUGACAAGGUUCAAAGUCUGUCAACUCUCCGUUGACCCUGCAGUCUGCGGUUUUUGAGAGUAUUCACUGAGCUGCAGUGCUGUGAACAGUGGUGAUCAGAGAUGUCAUGACUCAGCACAACAUACUCAUGCCAGUGAAGAGGAGUGUGUGCAUGUGCGUAUGUGUGUGUUUGCAUCAGUGCUGCAGCAGUUGAAUUAUGAAUUUCCACAGAGGUGACUUCUUAUGUCUCCUGUGUACGCAGCUGAUGCAUUGAUUAUAGCUUUACUCCUCAAGGAGGAGCACAAGAUGUCACAUUAAAGCUGGAAUCAUUACUACUGCUUUACAUUUGACUCCUACACAUGACUGAAAUAAUAUUUUUGCAGCAUGAGGAGGUUUUUCAAGUUUGAUGCAUGAAAAAAGCAGAGGAGGUGUGCAUAAGGAUAACUUUAAUCUCUGAACUCAUGAGGAGAAACGUGCUGCGACUUUGAAAAUGAUUGUAAAUGUAUGCAAACAUCUGAAUGGAAAAUAUUGCUAAUGAAAGGCUGUGCUGCAAAAACAUAAUACAAACACACUGCAAAUACAAAGUAAAUGCAAAUUUUAAAAAAUGCACAAGCACAAAAAGCACAUGCAAAAAAACAACAACUCUUAAGGUCCUUUCACACCAGGAGCAUUUUUUUUUUGCGAUUAUUUGUGUUGUGUCAGUCUUCUGGCUUCCACCUGGGACACGUCUUUUUUCGUCUUGUGUAUGGUCAGGCACGUCAAAAUUUGCCUCUAAAUAUUUCGAAAAUUUCGCGUUCGAUAUUUGCGUUGGGCCCGGUGUAUAAGGACCUUUUUAAAAUAAAGGGUUUCAAGAACAUUUUACAAGUGACAUUAUUUUUUAUUUUUAUUUUUUUCAUUAAAACUUAAUUUAGAUAGCAAAUAAACUGAAUAUACUAAAAGUUUCUGAGGAACAGUGAUGUUAUAUUUGAAGUACAGAGGACGGAGACAGACAGAAUAAAAUAUAUGAAUACAUCUUUAAAUAAAUACUUCAAUAUGUCUGUAACUAAUAAAAAUGGGAAUUAAAUAAAUAAAUGUGUCAUUAAAUAUGUCAUUAAUUAAUUAAAAUGGGGAUUAAAUUAAUAAAUGUGUCCUUAAUUUAUUAAUAUGGGAAUGAAUAAAUAACUGUGUUACUAAAUGUGUCAUCAAUUAAUUAAAAUUGAAUUAAAUAAAUGUGCCGUAAAUUGAUUAAAAUACUAGUUCAUUCAAUGUAAAAACAUAUAUAUGUAUUUCACUAUUUAAUCAUUUAUUUCAUGGACUGCAGUGCUUCAUGAAUUUAUUUCAUCCGUCAAACUCACCCAUCAAAGUCAGUGGGCGGAUCCUAACACCUGAUUGGUUACCCAGCACAUCAAGUCAAGACAGAUUGACUCCACAUAAUGGAUUGAUGCAGCCACUCUAAGGUCAAUAUCUUGGUCUGAGGUUGUGGGAAUAACUCCAAAAAUUUCACUUAAUUCCUCUGCUUUACCCACUUCAUCCUCUUUAACCAUUGUCAGCCUCACUCUCUUCUUUGAUGGGGAAAUUAGCCUUCAACAUUUUGAUCUACCAUUGGGUUAUUUUCUUUUACUUUAAAAUCAUGUUUUGAGUUAGAAUCAGUUAGAAUCCUCUUCUGUCAGCCAUGAAAAAAAAUUUAAAGCUGUUCUGCUCAGCGCCUCCUACAGACCUGGAGCUCCCCUGUUAUCACAGUCUGUUCAUUCAUACAACUCAUUAAAGUCAGGAUGCUGCAGCACACUAGAAAGGAGUUAGAAGACCUAGCUGUCAUGUUACAAACGUGUUCAUUUGGAGUCAAAUUCGGGGCUAUUAUUCAAUAAAUUCAGGGCUCGUGCUUUUAAAUGGAAUUAAAGCAGAAAUAGAAACUCAUUCAUGGUUGUUAUGUUUCCCUGGAAGGAUUUACUCUGAAUUUUCUGCAGCGCACGGUUAAAUUCAGUUCAUUCCAGGAAUAAAAGCCAAUUAUAACUCCCCCAUGUGCGCCCUGGUGAGGCUCAGCAUGUGGUAACUCGACAGAAAGGAAUUAUUCCAGGAUCAAAUGAAGUCAAAGCCCCAACAGGCUGACAUUUGGUGACUCCAACAGGGGAUCCGCUGUUCUACCCAGAGACCCCAUCGUAUAUGUCAGGAACCAAAUCACCUGAGGGAAGACCAGGAAAGAAGAACAAGGAGGGCGACGCAUGGAUCAGGAACUUCAGGAAAGGAUUUUAAUAAGACGCAGAAGUACAAAUCACCGUGGCCCAAGAUUUUUUUUUUAAAGAAGCAGAAUCUGAACCUUUGAGGGUCCUGACUAGAAACCUGUGAGUAGAGGAGACUUAGGGUGGGUCCAGUAUAAACGUCCUUACACACCAGGAGAGUUUUUUUUCGUGUGAUUAUUUCUGACGUCAAUAUUUUAUUUCAAACCCUCCUUCGCCUCUGAUUGGCUAUAAGUGCUGACCGUUUGGCUUGAGCGUAUGAUGACGUUUCCAGCUUUUCUAGCCAAUCAGAGGCGAAGGAGGCAGAACUUUCCCUGGGAAAAGUCUUCCUCAGGAUGCGUCUUUUCCCCCCGGAAAGUCGCAAAAUCGCAUUGGGCUUGAUGUGUACAGUCAGGCGAAUCAAAAUACACCUCUGAAUAGUUCAUAAUUUCGCGCUCUAUAUUUGCGUUGGCCCCGGUAUGUAAGGACCUUUAGGGUAAUUCCCGUAUAAGCCCAGCUCUGGCAAUGUUUGACCAUCAAGCACAUUACAGAAGCAAGAAGCAAUCUUAAAAGGGAUGCUGUCUUUUCAAACUUCAAGUUUAAAGGUCUUAUUUUGACCCUGGUAGUAAAUGACUUCAAUCUACGGCCAUGAACUAACUGGAGUUGUUGCAAAUCCUUGGCCCUGUGAAAGUCAAGAAACUUGCAAAUCCAAUCCAGGGCAGGUGCUGAGUGGAAUAUCAUGGAAAAGACGCAAAUAAAAAUAUCUCACAGGAAGGCUCCAAUUGUGAAAUUUCUAAAAAAAUAUAUUACUGGAUUCCCACAGAGAUGGACAUUGUUGUAUCCUGUUUUUAAAGAACCACUCUUGUGAAAGUCAUGUUUUUGUAUUUGUCCACAUGUUCAUGUGGCAUUUUUCUGAUGCUACAGGACACAUCAUGAGAAAACUAAGUGCAACAUUGCAUUUCUGAGUAUCUUUUCAUUCAAAUCGCUGUUAAUCUCUGGCAGACCCAAAUGGCAGGUUCAGAUACAGUGAGAUUUCCUACAUAGCAAAUCCAAGCUCCGCCCCCGGAGCCCUGCAAUGCUCAUAAGAAAGCUAACCUACUUCUUCCACUAAACCGGCAAUGUUAGGCGUUAGCUAGCGUGAAGAGGAGUGUGCAGAGCAGCGCUGUCUUUGCCCACGACUCAGAGGCGAAUUGAUAAUGAGCUACUGGAGCUCUACAGAAAGAAAACCCUUGAAAAUGACACGCGAUUUUGGCUAAAAUCUUCAUAAUCACACUUUAAAGAGCACUGAUAACACUUUGAAUAGUACAAAAAAAUAUGACUGGAGUGGGACUUUAAUUGGAUCCAGACGUCAUGUCACUCUGCAACUUUAAAAGCUUCAAAUCCAAAAAAAAGAUUGAGCUUAUCGUUACUGAGUUUGUCUCAUGUGCCUUAUGUCUUGUUCGGUCUAAUUUCACUCCCUCGAAAUAGUGUUUUCCCCGAGUAACUGCCCUUUCUGAACUGUGUUGAGAGCUGAGUUCUUCUCAUUUUCCUCCUCUUUUUUAUUUUAAACUCUCACCCCACUCGUGUGUAACCGUCUUAUUUCCAAUCAGAUUUCUGCAUUAGAAAAAAAUCAUGUAUUUGCUGAGGCAGCUGUCAUGAUAAUUGGCCUUUUAGAAGGAGUUGGCCCUUCAGAGGAGAGCUAUCGAUUUCAUGAUCACAGCUGUACUUCUCCCGCUGACCUCUACUGUACGAGGCGAAGGCCGAGCCACCGUGUUUCCAAGAGCAUAAUUAGAAUGGAUCUAAUAUCUUUUUUAUAUGCGCUCACGGCUCGGCUGUAGCGCUCGGAAGCUGCCCCCCCCUCUGCUCUGCAAGACCUUUAUUUACCCAAGUAGGCCUGCUGCAUUUUGAUAAGAACCUCUGUCUGGAAGAAUUAAUGUAAUGCCCACUCGAGGAGAGGGUUUCAAUUAGGGAGCAGGACAUGUCGGAAUGGGAGGAAUUCAAGCAAAAUACACCAGCACUUCAUCCAAACCUGAGGAGAAUAUCGACUCCUCCACACCCCUGUACCCUUCUGUUCAUUUCUGCCUCAGCGGCCCUGAACGCGUCCACAUUCAGAGCAUCGUUUCCAUGCAAAGUGUCCAUCUGCCUCCUCCUGUGCGAUGGACUGUCAGCGCAUACAGACUGCCGCUCAUUUGUGCGCAUUACCCACUUAUUUCCAAGUGUUGUUGAAUUCAGAACAAAGUCCACACAAGCCAAACAAAGCGGUGAUGCAUCUGCAGGAGUUGUUCAUUUUUUUUAGAGAAGUGGAGGUUUGGUGCAGCAGAGAGGAGGCUGGAGUCGCUCCUGACGGAUGUUUCCAGACUUUCUCAUGAAUUCUAAAUCAGCUUUGGCUAAUUAAUGUGGAAAGGGCAGACGUUUUCUGUGAGAGGCAGACUGAAGUGUACAGAGGAGGAGGCUGUUCACAGCUUUCACAUGACAAAAAAAAACAACAACAAGGACACAAGAGGCGAGAAAUGGCUGGAUUUGAAGAAAAAGAUUGCCCCGUAUCAUGUUGCACAGAAUUCUUCCUUUUCUUCUUUUACAACCUUGAAUCCAGAAAAGUUGAAAUAUUGUAAAAAAUGUUAACGAAAACAUGAUAUGGAUGGAGCAAAGACAACACGCUCGAUGUUGAAACUUGUUGAAAAGCUUGUUGAUGUUGAAAAACGAAAAAAAAUGAGUGAACCCAUCAUCUUUAGUUUUUUCUGUCCCAAUGUGUGAUAAAUCGAAAUAUGACGCUCUUUUUGGAAAUUCAGUCCCCGGUUGGAAAUACAGUUCAAAGCCAGCAUCCCGACACAAAUAUAUGACGCGAAAUUACGAAAUAUUCAGAGGAGAAUUUUGACGCGCCUGACUAUACACAUCAAGCCCGAUGUGAUUUUGCGACUUUCCGGGGGGAAAAAGACACGUCCCGGGUGGAAGCGAGAAGACUGACUCAACAGCAGACUGACUGUUUUUCAGCUCUGAUUAGACACUAGUGUUGAGAUGUCUGUCUGUCAUGACAGCAUGUACUGAGUCGGGGCCAGUACCAGAUAAGCACAUUAAACUAUCAUCCAUAAACGUAAGGUAACAACCAAGACCUAAUGGUGCCGUGACAGCAACGCCAUUGAGUUUGAGACAGUGAAAAUACAUAUGGUAUGUUGUAUCUGAACAGGUUAGCUUACGAGCUAAAGUUACGUAGCACAGAUGAAAGUUAAAACAAAGACGUUUAGCAAACUGUUAAAGAACACAAACCAUCAUCAUAUGAGAAAUUUGACGCUAUGACUCUCCACAAAUUGUCCUUCAGGUCGUUAUCUUUGUAAUGUUUGUGUCUUUUAUCAAAAAGCACUCUGUUCUCCGACAUAUAAACAAUCAGCCGGUCAGCCAUGUUGGAUAUACCGGUGAAUCAGACGUCGCAACAACACGAAAUCUGAUUGGUCAGAAGUGGACACAGUAUGCGAAAAUUUAGAAAAAUCGACCAUGAUCGCAUGACGGGAAAACGUUGCUGAUGUGAACGCUUGUAUUGUAUUGGGUUCGAAAAAAAAAUAUCAAUGUCCGAAAUAAUCGCACGAAAAAAAAGCUCCCUGUGUGAAAGGACCUUAACUGAGCAUAGGCUAGUAGUUGAGGCUAGCAGCAGUCCUCUGAUGCUCAGAGUCCAUGUCAUGGGUAUCUUCCACAUCAAUGAAGGCUUAAUGCUGAACAAUAUCUACAGGUUUAGGAGCAACAUCCGCUGACAUCCAGACAAAGAGACCUUCAUAUUUCAGCAAGACAGUGACAAACCACAUUCUGACAACAGGGAUUACAACAGCAUGGCUCUGUAGUACAAGAGUGCUGCUGAUAAACUGGUCCGACUACUUCUUUAACUAUUUCCAGUUCAAUAAAAGAAAGAACCGAUCAGCAAAGCAUCAAAUUAUGUUUUAUUAGCAUUUUACACAACGCCCUCACUUUUUUUUAAACAAGUGUUGGAUUGUAAAAUGUAAACAUGAACGAGCUCACCACCUGAAAACUCCAAAUGUAAAGAAUCUCAGAGGGGGAUUGAUGCAAAAAUGGAUAUGAUCACUUUAAUCUUUGCUUUAUUUGGAGCUGUUUUGCUUUUUCUGAAUGACCUAAUUCCAGAUUUUGAUCAGUUUAAAUAAUUUUGCUUUUUCUUCCAUAUUUUCAGCGAGUUUCAUACAUAUUUAUUCAGUCUACUUGAAGCCUGAACACUGCAUUUAAACCCAAACUGCUCCAGUGUUUGGAUUCAUUUUUACUGGCUGUGAAUUCAUGAAAAAUGGAUGACACUGAAAUCCUCAUGACUCAGAAAAGCUGUAUAAAGAUAGAUUUAUAUGAAGUGAUAUGAUAAGGGUGCUGCUUUAAAUCUAAAGAGUACAUUUUAAUGCACAGUCUGGCUCUUACAAAUCUUUACCUCACAUUGCCUUGAGUCUUUUCUCGGUUCACACUAAAUUCCCCUCACUCACUCACGCUGCUCUUAUUCAAUUUAAAGGUGAAUUAAAGUUUAAAAUCUACAUUUGUAUAAUUUUUUGCUGGGUUUUGUCUUUUUAUAACUGCAAAGAUUUGUCGGGUUUUAUCGGGAAAUGAGCCGUUACGGAUAUAUUAGUCAGGAAAAAAAGACUCUCACACAAUACAGAUUUGACUGGGUAUACUUUUUACACAAUUUGGGUCCAAUAAAAAGAGACCUGUUUUCCGUACACCUGUGCAGCCACAGCAGCAUAAUAACAGCUUUUCUACCUCACAUGGUCAUAAUUAUGCAUUUGGAGAAAACAGUGAUAUUCAUUUUAGUAAAUAAACCCUGUGGGGUACUGCUUUGACUCAAAAGACUCUUAAUUUAAGAAAAAAAUGACCAUUGAGGGGGGCGGUGCAACUUUGAUUGGACUGGUUGAAGUAGCAUGUCUGCAGACCAAGACGCUGCAGAUUUAGGACCACAUUCUAAGACUCUUUUACACCAUCUUCUACAUUUUAUCACCAAGAAGUGCAUUUUUAGUGUAUGCAUCUGUAACACCAACCUUAGGUAUAACUGUUGUAUCAAAACACAGGUCCUAAAACUGCAGUCGCAUUAAGCUCUCGUAACUAUUGCUGUUGGUUGAGCUCAGCUACUUUACAGGUAAACUCCUCAGGUUCAAGACAAAGGAUUUUAACUCAUUCAGUGCCAAUGACGGAUUUGAAUGGAUUUUUUUUAUUUGCCUUGAGUGCCAUUGAUGGAUUUUGACAGAGUCCUCCGUUUUUUGUUUCCCGCCAGAAGGCGCUUCUCCCCAACAUGCGACUAAGUUUGGGGUCAUUGUGAGCGCAGAGAAGCCGAUAAAUACAUCAUAACAUGUUACAAUAACAAAAACAAGUACUUUCCAGUGAGAAAUGUCCCAUCAAGUGUGCCAAUUAGCCUAGUUGUGGAGUGUUUUUCUCUAUGAGAAGAGUAGGAAAAGGCCAGAGUCAUAGAACAAGUGCAAACAGUCUUGGCAAAUUGACUCCCGUGGGCGCGGUGCUGCCAUUUCUGGAUCCAGUGGAGAUCCCAUUACAAGACCUUCACAUUGUCAGCAGACAAUCAACGAAACAAUUUUCCAGCAUGAUGUUGUGCUGCUGGUGCUGGUACUGGUGAGCGAGACUGAGCCGGAAUUCAGCAACAGUCCCAGUGAGGAGGACGCAAGCAGUCUGUGUUAUGUAUGUCACAGCGUUAGGUUCUCAAGUGCCAAUACGACUCCCAGCCGUCACAAAAUGAUCUAUCACAAUCGGAUCUUGAGAGUGCUGAGGAGUGGCGUCUAAGGAGGGAGGACCUUGAUGCCACCAGUAAAGUAGUUUGAAGUGACAUGAAAUAGACAAUCCGAGUUCUGCUUUAGAGUCUCUCCUUCGUCUUAAUGUAUUUUUCCCAGGUUUCUUUUUCCAGAUCGGCAAAGAUGAUAUGACCAUGCUGCAUUGAGCAAGCAUUAACCAAACACGGGAGUGGGUUAGAGACUUUUUUUUUUUUGGUGAAAGAAGAUAAUCCCCCCUUUCUUUUAAAAUAUUGAACUUUAAUUUUAUUCCAAGCACAAGAUAUUCUGUAGGUCCUGAAAGAUAUGGAAAUUUCUAUUGCUGUCAAUGGUGGCGCUGGGUGAAAAUUGCAUCAAUGAACCUGGCAUUGAAUGAGUUUAAAAAAAGCUACACAGCUGCAUACAAACUGCACAUUGCUGACCAUAAAGAAUCGUCACACACUCUUCUGCAAAUUCUUGACACCUCUCACUCAUACAGAUAAAAGAGGUGUAGUGAUGUUGAACAAGAGAAUCUAUGGAAGGUAGUUACUGACUGCAUAAAUGUUCUUCCUUGAGCUGCGUAACCCCGCAGCAGUCCAUAAUGGAUUGGUCCAAGGUCUCGCUACAAACAAGCGGCUGCUGGAAGAGAGUAGGUGAGUUGUGUUUAGUCUCUCUGCUUAAGAAAUCAGGCAAAGUUAAAAAGAUGUUUGGUGGGUAGUGUUAUGGCUGGGGCCCUAUAUGUACUGUUGAUGAAGUUAGGUGCUGUUCUGAACAUUGUUUGUGGCUAUAGAGUGGCGUUUUCAUUGAGGUUUGUGUGUGGUUCCAUAGACCGCUAUGUAUCACUGUCAGUACUUAAGUUGGUAUAAUUAGAGAAGCAAGCAGUCGGCAACAUUCAUCUCUUGGGGGGGUGUCUAACUUGGUGUUAAGGCGUGUUUAACCCUAAAUUAAUUUUACACAGGAAUAUCACUUUAAGUUUGACCCUUGCAUGAAACCAAAGUCAGAUCUGUAAAAUGGUCUUAACUUGGUCAACAUAACUCUAGGUUUUGAAGUAUGAUAUUUCUGUUAUCCGCUGCUGCUGCUCAGAGGGACGCAGGACUGCAGCAGAGGUGGUGCGAGAGGCGUGAGGAUAAAAACAAGCCUUUCUUUCUUCAUUUGCUCACUGAGGCGAACCAGCCGCAGGUUUUCUGUUUGAUGACGAGUGCGAGUCUCUGCGAGCUAAUGCUGAAACCGUGUAGGGUUAAUUGAUGCAGGAAGAGGAGCCCUCUCUUACAGCUCCGUCACAUUGGGCAGAAAGAGCCCUCAUCAAUAAUUUAAGAAUUAUCUUUAAUGGCAUCGCACGGCGAUCGUUUUAAUUGGAGCGAUUACAGUCUGCUUCAAGUAAUCUGAGGGAGAGCGAAGGACAGUAUCUGAGAGAGCUUUGUUUAACUGUUGAAGUUGUGAUUAAAUAUUGUUUUUUAUUGUACUUAGAAAUCUUUUAUUCUGUAGAAACUUAAAGUCCAAAAAACUUGUACCUUCUUUUUUUAGUCAUGCAGCUGGAGAGCACAAUGAGAUCCUUAAAACUGCUAUAUGUCUGCUAGCAUCUACAUACACUGGACAUUUUAAUGAUUGUAUUGUUAGAUAUGCAAGCUUACAGCCUGUGUAAAUUUAGGGUCGUAUGGUCAGAUAUGAAUACAUGUACUAAAACUAGUGUGAGACUAGCAGCAGGGCCUGCUGACUGUGCUGAUGUAGUCUUAAAGGUAAAAACAAAUCGUUUUUUUGAAGGACAAAAAGGAAAUGAGAAUAAAAUACAGAAAAUCCAUGUUCUGCCUUAGCUCUGAUCUGGAUGUUCCAGGAGGAAAUCAGAUUCAUUUUCAGCAAAUUGAUCAGAAUUGGUGGUUCCCCCCCCCCACACACACACUCUGUAAUGAAAAAAAAAUCUGCCUGUGAAGAUGCAAGAAAAUAAAACAGAUAUAAGAGUCUGAGAAAUCAAAGAUACUGCUUUAAAGCUAAGUUAAAUGUGAGAAGUGUAGUUUCUGGUAAAUUUAUGAUGAUGCAAUAAAAGUCAGAUCUACAAAUAGAUGUUUGAAAGCAGGCUGCAGUAUUGAGAUAAACUAAAUGCUGACUCAUCUAAUGUUUCUUGUUUGUAAAAGGCAAAAAUCUGUGCUGUCUAAGUAUCGGUUUUUCACACUUUCGGCAGAUGUUCCUAUAUUUUGAUCACCAUAGUCUUCUGACUAAAACAUAGACAUAUUCAGUAUAAUGUCCACUGGCCUCUGAAGGCUCCUAUACAUACUUCUUCAUCGUCUAAUUUUUGGAAAUACCUACUUUUCUGUUUUAGAAAUCAGUAUUUUAGAUCUGUGGCAGUAGUCUGGGAACAUGAACUCAUUUCCAUGCUUUAUUUUUAAUUUUCAAUACUUUUCAAGACCUGGAAAUGUAUCAAAUUUAUUUUCUUACUUUUCAAUGCUUUCCAUACUUGCCAAGGAACCCUGGAAGUGUCAUGAAAUCCAAAGAUGGUGGUCCCAAUGUUAGAAUUACUGUGAUUAUUUCGUGCGAUUAUUUCGGACGUCAAGAUUUUUUUUUUCCUGUCAAUACAAGCGUUCACAUCAGCGAUGUUUUUCCGUCCUGCGAUAUUGCGGCAUUUAUUUUUUCGGAUCAUGGUCAAUUUUCUAAAGUUUCGCAUAAUGUGUGUCCACUUCUGACCAAUCAGAUUGUGUGUUGUUGCGACGUCAGAUUCACCGGUAUAUCCAACAUGGCCGACCGGCUGAUUGUUUACGUGUCGGAGAGCAGAGUGCUUUUUGAUAAAAAACACAAAUAUUACAAAGAUAACAAAGGACAACAUAGUGUCGGAUCUCUCAUAUGAUGAUGGUUUGUGUACUUUAACAGUUUGCUUAACGUCUUUGUUUUAACUUUCAUCUGUGCUAACGUAUGCUAAUGAUUGUUACCAUAGUUUCAUGUGUUUAUCUUAUCCCUUCUGAUUAGCUAUAAGUGCUGACCGUUUGAUGGCGUUUCCAGCUUAUCUGGUCAAUCAGAGGCAAAGGAGGCGGGACUGUCCCGGGGAAAAGUCUUCCCCUGGACGCGUCCCCCCGCCCAGACCUUUUGAUGAAGUGCAUCAUAACAUAGAUUCACUGUUUUUUUUACGGACAGCCUCCUGUGGACAUUUGCAGUUUUUCUGCACAUCCUCAGUGUCUUUUGUUCUGAUUAAAAAGUACUCUGGGUCUUUCAUGAAACGGACUGAUUUUUAGAUUUUUGUCUCAAGUUUGAUGAGAAAUAAACUCAGAUUUUUUUUUUCUACCAUGUUGAAGGACUCUUUGUCCUCUGUGUUUAAGCUCUUUGUCGAGACUUAAACAGAGAAGACGUCCUCGUUUGUAUCUGCUCCUCAGAUUAUUUACCGCCUGUCUUCCUGGUGUCGGUCUCUCCCUCAUUGAGUGUCACCGCACGCCCUCGCCCCUCCUGUAACAUGAGGCAGGACAAAGUCAUCUUCAGUCACAGGUUAGAGGAAAAACGGCUGCUGUGCCAGUGUGCGAGUGUGUGUGAGGAGAUAGAGUUUCUAAGCUGUAUGUGGAGUGUUUCUGUACAAAGUGGGAUCGAAUUAGACAAGCUCCACUGUAGAGAGAGCUGAAUUUCAAGAGGCUUCAUGCAUGCAGAACAAUGCUGCAAUAGCCGCGAAGGCUUGAAUGUAUUCAGAUGAAGAGAAUCUAAUGAAUCAUAAUUAAAAAAGUACCUCAGUCGAGCAGUGCUGUAAUUGGAUAGCUCAUAUGAAGAGCUGUGAGGCGGUCUUCAAAGCUCAACCAGCCGCUGGAUUUCGUGUAAAAUCUCUGGACUGAGAGGAUUUCCGGCUACAGCUGGAAGAGCAGAGAGCGAAAUGAAUUUACUCAGAGAGCGCUGACAGGCAUGAGAUCAAUAGUAAUUAUACCACUAAUAUGUUUCAUUUUGAACAAGUUUGUUUAAGCAGCACAAGUUUGGAUGUGAACUCCCAACAGUUUAAAAGAAACUAUCCAGAAGAGAGAAGACGUGCAAGAUGAAAACUUAUCUUCCUGUCGUCUUCAAAUGGGGAAUUUUCUCAUUUCCAAAAUGAGAUCUAAUUAUAAAACUCUAUUACCAAGGAGUUGUAGGAUGUGUAAAAUGUAAGUAACAAGUUGAGUGUUGUGCUAUUUAAAGCUGAUGUGAAAAGACAACUCAUCAGAUGUUGAUGUGAGAGUCUCUUUCUCUUUCACAACUUUUGACCUGUUUGGUUGUUCCUCUAUAACAACUUUUUAAAUCUUCGGUUGUUCCUCUUUCAACUUUUUUGAAAGUUGAUAUAAGCUUUGAUUUAUUGCGAAACAAUCAAUUUCUAUUUUUUUUUUCAACAUUUAUCAGGGCGCCCCAAACAGGGGUUGUAUUUGUCAUUUAGCGCUGAAAUUUACCAACAUACAGUUUAGGUCUUAAGUGUAAGCUUUCAGCACCUCCAGCUGUAUGUAUGGGUUGUUUGAUGGAGUCCUGUCAUCCGUUGAAAUGCUGCACUUUAAUUCAGAGCUGCGUUCGUCUCCAUUUGCAUGUGACAUUGCCCCCUGGAAUUGUUUUGACAUCGGCGUCUCAUUUGCUUUUAUUCAUUUUCAUUACAGUUAUAAGCUAAUGGGAGAUUUGUAAAUGUGCCGUGACAUGCUGCGUGUGAUUACCGCUCCGCUAAGGAUUGCCUGAGAAGAGCGCCGGCCCCUCGCCCCUGCACGCCUCUGCAGCAGAUAAGGGAAACCAGAGCUGUCACUAAAAGGUAUGCUAAUUCAAGGAGUUCCAGGUAGGAUCCUCUGCUGUUUAAAAUAAAAAACACCGGCUCAAAUGAUGAAGAAAUUACCCACAUGAGAACAAACAGCAGGUAAUGUAGAGAGUCCGUCUUUACUCUGCAGGUGAUCUGGUUUCACAGAACCUUUAACAGGUGGUGCAUUCAAGGGGCUUAUGCUCAUCUGCUCUAGUGCUUUGGUUUUGAACAUGCAGAGUGGAAGGAACAUGGCGUUUCAUUCAAUUCGGACCAUUUAAUUCAACAAAAUAUUGCAGAAAAUCAAAGUGAUCAUUUUCAGCUUUAGGAAAUUGCCACGGCUGUUCCUGCCAAUUUUUGCUACUUGAGUGACAUCCUUGAAAAGUGAAGGACCAUGAAGGUUUUUUGUUGUACUUGUUUAACCACCACCAAAAACCAAUCCAGUUUGACUCAGUCAGGGGCAUUUUUGAUUGUGUUUUAUAGAGUAUGCAGGAGUUGAUCUGGCCUUAAAGAGAGGGUAUUAUGUGGUUCUUUUAGACUCGAUACUUCCUUUCAGACUCCAUACUUCCUUGCAGACUCUAUACAUCCUUUCAGACUCUAUACUUCUUUUAGACUUCCUUUCAGACUCUAUACAUCCUUUCAGACUCUAUGCUUCUUUCAGACUUCUUUUCAGACUCCAUACUUCUUUUCACACUCUAUACUUCCAUUCAGACUCCAUACUUCUUUUCAGACUCCAUACUUCUUUUCACACUCUAUACUUCCAUUCAGACUCCAUACUUCCUUGAGACUUGCUUUCAGACUCCAUACUUUCUUUCAGACUCUAUGCUUCCUUUUAGACUCCAUACUUCCUUUCAGACUUUAAACUAUCUAGGACUCUAUUCUUUCUCAAUCUCCAUACUUCCUUUCAGACUCCAUACUUUCUUCGGACUCCAUAUGUCACUUAUACUUCCUUUCAGACUUUAAACUAUCUCAGACUCUAUACUUCUUUUCAGAUUUCAUACUUCCUUUCAGACUCCAUACUUUCUUCGGACUUCCUUUCAGACUCCAUAUGUGACUUAUACUUCCUUUCAGACUUUAAACUAUCUCAGACUAUACUUCUUUUCAGACUCCAUACUAACUUUCAGACUCCAUACUUCCUUUCAGACUCCAUACUUUCUUCGGACUUCCUUUCAGACUCCAUAUGUCACUUAUACUUCCUUUCAGACUUUAAACUAUCUCAGACUCUAUACUUCUUUUCAGACUCCAUACUUCCUUUCAGACUUUAAACUAUCUCAGACUCUAUACUUCUUUUCAGACUCCAUACUUCCUUUCAGACUCCAUACUUCCUUUUAGACUCUAUAGCAGGGGUUCUCAAUUAGAAAUGUAAAAGGUCCAGAAAAUACAUUUUGAGGAAGUCAUGCGUGGUGGCGAAAAAUUGUAACCUUUUUUAAUGUUUUUAUAUAGUUUUAUGAUGGGUGUACUGCACUGUAAUAAUCAGGAGUUAUUGGAAGGCACAAAAACAUUCAUUUCCAGCAUCUCACUGAUAUUCUUUCUUACUAAGUAUUACUCUAUAAAAUAAAAUAAGCUUUUUAUUUUAUCUGUUUGUAGCUCAGAUUUAUCUCUAUCAAUAUCGCUUCUCAUAAUGGCUUUUUAUGUUUUCACUUUUUAUCAGAGCAACAGUGCUUUGCACAAAAGACACAUUGGCUUUGUGCUUGAAGGAGGUAAGAUAAUCAUAUAUUUGUCAGUACGUUCGUCAGUGAAUCAGCGAUUUUCAAUGUCCACCUUUCUCUGAUUUGCCAUUUUGAUGUCGGGUGCUGGGUGUGAGCAUUGCUCCUGCUGCAAAGACGUAACCGAAGGAGGAAGAUGUGUGACUGCCGGUUUGCGUAGUUAUCAGCCAAUCAGCGCAUCGUUGUCAUGGGAAUGGCAGCCCAUAAUGCAAGCACACACACACACAAGCUCUCUCUCUCUCUCUCUCUCUCUCUCUGUCGGCCAGUCUAACCUCGCGUCAGUCAGUCAGAGAGAGUGCUGUGCCGUGUUUUUUUUUCUUCUUUUUGCUCUGGGACCACAAAGAGGUGGUCUGCGGUCCGGAUGUGGACCGCGGUCCGCCUAUUGCAGACCCUGGCGCUAUACUUCCUUUCAGACUCCAUACUUCCUUCAGACAUUCUUUCGAACUCUACACUUCUUUUCAGACUCUAUACUUUCUCAGACUCUAUACUUCUUUUCAGAUUCCUUUUAGAUUCUCUAGCUCCUUCAGAUGCCAUACUUUCCUUUUAGAGUCUAUACUUCCUAUCAGACUCUAUACAUUGUUUCAUACUUUAUACUAUCUCAGACUCUUUACUCUUUUAGGCUCCAUACUUUCUUUCAGACUCUAUACUUACUUGUGUUUCUCACUCUAGUGUAUUAAAAUAUUAUUUUAGCCUCAGUCUGAAACACUUUGUUUGAACAAGCUUUUUCCAUACUAAAGAAUCCACUUCACAGUUUUCCCACACAUUUGAUCCACUCUUAGUAAGAAAAUCUCAGUUUUUCACAUUUUCCUACAUCUGUAAGAAGAACUGCUGACGGUUGACUUUCUGAGUUUGUCCAGUUGAUCAGUCAGACAUUGAGAGAGAUGAUUUGGUGAGUUUGAUGAACAUAUGUCACAACAGAGAGCGGGAGUCAUUUGUUCACAGCAUGGUGUGACUCUGAUAUGAGCUCUCAUUAUCACCUCUGUGAUGUGGAUGGAGGUCCCGCAGCUCCCCACAGGAAGCCUCCUCAUCAUUUGAGUGCCUUCAUUCAGGUCAAUUUGCCCUCAUUGUCAUCUCCAGCACCAGCAAAGUGCUAAAUCAAUUUCAGGGUCACAUUUAUCCUGGGGUAAUCGUGCGCUGCUAAUUGGCCCCGCAGCUGAAACCUGUCAGUCACCGAGGGGCGAACGGGAGGGGGAGGUAGGGUUAGGGGAUCACCGACACCAGCUGCUGCGCCGCAGCGUUCACCGCCUGCCCCAUGGUGUGAUGUCAGACAUUUUUUAUUAUUUUUUUAUUUCAAUGACUUCAUCAUAGCAAGACUGGUUUGAUGCCAAAUCGGAGAAGGCCGCUCUGAUUUGACCCCCAGCAGGGGCGCUGGUCUCAUGAACCUGUGGGGGUUGAUGAGCUCACAGCGGGGGAGAUCUGCUGCACGAAGCCGAGGCUCUGAUGUGCGGAGGCCUGAGGUCGAUUUCUGCCUCAGAUGCUUUAAUGUAAAGCUCCAUAUGUCAGGCCUGUCUGUUUGUGUUGACAUGAUCCCUCUGAGUUAAAUUUAAACUCAGCUCAGGCUGCUGCUGUGAAGAUACUCCUCUGUGCUGGUCCUCAUUUAAAUAUCUGACUUUAGUACACGUCUUUAACGCCACAUAAAACAGCUCCACUGCUUUUUGAAACCUGCUUCUGUGACUGACGGGGCUGGAAACUAACAAAGGGUGUCCAGAUAGCAGAAAUGUAAGCUUUAAAACAACAAAUAUUGAUAACAUAGACAAUAAUGACACUGGAAGCUGCAAUUAGUGGUAUAUAGCAGUAAUUACUUGUAAAAAUUGAUCAUGGUUUUUAAAAUAUACCGUUGAUGUAAAGUUCAGGUCCCCUUUCACAGAGGUCCUGUUCACAGCCCUGUUUCUACAGUAGCCUAGAGCGGACAAACUAGUAACAAGCGCUUUUUUGUUGUGAACACAAAAUCCGCCAGCAGCAGGAAGAAAAAGAAGAAGACAGUGGUUGUUAUUGUUAUUCGUACCUUUAAUGGUAAAAACCUGACACAUGUAGGAUCAUACUUAUGAUCACUUCACUGACUUGAGGGGUUAGAAAGGGAGAGUUUUAAUCUAUUAUCUGGUGCUAUCUGUCACGAUAUGUUCUGUUAAUUUAGUUUUUCUGUUUUUGUUAUCUGAGUGCAUUUUAUUUUAUUUUUUUCCCCAUAGUGUUUCUGUUCCCUAUUGUUCCUGUGAUCUUGUCUUGUGAGUUUUCAGUUUGUGUUUGACCCUGUUUCUCUCGUGUUCUCAGUGUUUUAUUUUUUAGAAUCAGUUUUCAGUGUUUAUUUCCUGUUUUAUUUUGUAGUAGUUGAUUCCUUGUGUUUCUAGUCUAGUUUUACUCCCCUAGUUUUCCCUCCUUCGUUAAGCACUCAUAAGUUUCACCUGUCUCCUCUGCCUCACCUGUUGCUCGUUAGAGCUCGUUACCCUGUGUGUGUAUAUAGUCCCUGUCUUCCCCUGUUUCUUGGUUCGGUUCAUUGCGUGCGUGCGUCUGCCCAUUAAAACGGAACAUAUCAUGACACCGUUGCUGAAUACUCCACUUUCUAUAUACUGUAUUUUAAUUUUGAAAGCCCCAAAAACAGCCAUUGUGAGCUAAUGUCUGUCUAUCCAUCCAUAUUUUCUCCUCAAGACUGAUUGACACAGAUAUCUGUAUUUUAAGUGCUCAGAAAUGAUUAAAAUGUUCAAUAACAUUAAUAUACUUAUAACCAUCCAAAAAGGUUCAUUCAUUCUGACUAUAAAACACAUUAAAAGAUUCAUGUAUCUGGACCACUUAGACAUGUUUCCACUACACACUUCCUUCAGUCUUCCCUGCAAGAGUCACAUGGUGAUGUUUUGACGUUGUCUGUCAUCCUCUAUUAAUCAGCUGAGAGGCAUCGUCACAAUGUCACAUGACUCUAGUAGUCAAAAUAUAUCAAGUUAAAAAGGAAAAACACACCGGUCUGGGUAAGAAGAUGACAAAUCACUGCACUGAAACUUACACUGUGUUGUUUCCAGUGAUACAGAACUACAGUAACAACACUCAAAUACACAUCACAGGGUAUAUUUACUUCAUGAACAGUAUAUAAAAGUAUUGACCCUGUUUUAACCCCAUCAUGGGCCUCAUGCUGUGUGUCAGAUCACUUUAGUUAUUUCUGAAAGCAUUAGAGCUUUAUUUCUGCCAGCUUUUGUCAAUGUAAAUGAGUCACAGCUUCAUAUUGAUCAUAGAGUUGUGUAUUGAUCUCUUGCUGUGAGUAAGAGUGGUUUUCCACAUGAGGAGCUCAGCGUGGGUCUGGCUGUGUGUGUGCUGGAGAGAUCUGUAUGAUCAGCAUCAUACAGCCUAAAGAGUGCGAGUGUCUGUACGGAUCUGAGGGUUCGCUUUAAGGCGUUUAAGACUGAUGAGGACAGAGGCUCUGGUUUGUCGUCUUCAUAAUCCAGCUGAAUGAUCUCUAACAAAGCUUAAUGAAGCAUGAAGCUUUAACUCUUCUCUCCUCUAACUCCUCCAUCCUUCAUCCCUCCAUCUGUGAUCAUACUGCCAUUAGAGAUUCAAGUCCUGCCCAUGUAAUGUAGAUGAACUCUUUAUCAAUAACUGUUAUCAGGAUCAAACUCAUGAGAAAGGCGUUCAUAUCAGAGUGACGUUAAACGAUGGAUGAUACCAGCCUAAGGCUGGUUCAAUACCUAAUUUACCCUCCCUCCCUCCCCUCUGUCUUAAAUGAUGGAUCAAUCAAACAUGGCUGUCUGUUUGAUUUAUGCAGCAGGAGGAACAGAAACAGUCUCUCUGCUUUAAAGGGAAGCACUCCUGCCCUAAAUACUCUGAAUUUCACCUAAACAGGGCUGUAAAGUGGAGUUCAGUGGCAUCGUCAAGCAUUUAGACCUAUCAAAUAUUUAAGAAUUGGCAGUUUUUCACUUUUAUUCCAAAAAGUUAAAACGUUUUGUUUUGAAGGAUUGCAACUCACUUAAAACCUGUAUUUAACUGUAAAUAGUGCAAAGACUUACCAUCAGGGAUGCCGGCUGUUGAGGUGUGUAAAGCCAAAUGGCUGUUUUUUUCAGUAGAGUGAAGGAUAGGAUGUCCAAGAAUUUCAAAUUAUGAGCCAGGCUCGGGUCCAGAAAAAAUUCUGGUGUUCUGGAUCAUGUUUCUAUCUGGUUUCCUCUUCGCAUGAUUAACCUUCAUUUCUGUAUGCAGUGAUGAACUGUUUUCACAUGUGUUCACGGAGGAAAGUUGUUAGAAGAUAUUUGAGCCACUAGUCCACGUAUUCUUUCACAUAAAACAAUAACAUCUUCAGUUUCAACAUGCUUUGCACAAUUUUCAAUCGAAUUGCAUGUUGUUCCAUUGUCUGAUUCACCGGUAUAUCCAACAUGGCUGACUGGCUGAUUGUUCAUAUGUCGGAGAACAGAGUGCUUUUUGAUAAAAGACACAAAUAUUACAAAGAUAACGACCUGAAGGACAACUUGUGGAGAGUCAGAGCGUCAGAUUUCUCAUAUGACGAUGUUUUAUGUGCUUGAACAGUUUGCUAAACGUCUUUGUUUUAACUUUCAUCUGUGCUAACGUAAGCUAACGGUUGUUACCAUAGUUUCAUGUGCUUAUCUGGUACUGGCCCUGACUCAGUACAUGCUACCAUGACAGAAAGCCAUCUCAACAUUAGUGUCUAGUGUCUAGUCCUCUGCCUCUUCAAACUUGAGGCUAAUUGUUUCAGCAGAACUUCAAUUUGUUCAAUGGACAUCCGAAAAAAUGCUUCUGAAGCGACGGUGAGCUUCACUGUUUGGUUCAGGAGCUGAAACUGUACCACAAAGUUCUCUUUUUUUUGUAAUAUUGGAUGCACCCAUUGAGAAAGCAAAAGGAGUACCAAUUCGCCAUCACUUGAAGUUGAAGUAGACUCCAUUUUUGUCUUCUCGCAUCCACCCGGGACACUGUAGGAUGGUAUGGGAAAGUCCUGCCCUCCUUUGCCAAACGGUCAGCACUUAUAGCCAAUAAGUGCUGACCGUUUGGCUUGAGCAUGUGAUGACAUUUCCAGCUUUUCCAGCCAAUCAGAGGCAAAGGAGGCGGGACUUUCCCCGGGAAAAUUCUUCCCUGGGAUGUGUCUUUUUCCCCCCGGAAAGUCGCAAAAUCGCAUCGGGCUUGAUGUGUAUAGUCAGGCACAUCAAAAUUUGUCUCUGAAUAUUUCGUAAUUUCGCGUUCUAUAUUUAUGUCGGCCCCGGUGUAGCUUUAAUGUUGAUUAAAUAUAGUCUGCACAGGAACCUCAGAUUGAUAACACAGCAUAGCAGGACCCUUAAGAGUGUUAGAUAAGUUUUGCUGAAAUAAACCAAGAGUAAAGAACUUCUGUUGGGAAACUUUUGGUACUUUUUAUCCUUGGCUCAUGAAAAGAUGAUGAAAAAAGGGAACAAUAUCUAUCAGAUUAUCCUGCUGUAUACUUUGAUGAUAUUAGGGUCAUAUUUUGUUUAAAAACCUCUUGUACAGCAGAUGAAACUCGUCUUGAUAUUUCUGUUUUUUCUCCGUAGACCCUUCAUUUUCACUCAUUACCCACAAUGCAAAGAAAGAUGCUGGGUUCAGAGGGAAUUUUCUCACUAAUAUCUACACGCCAAGACACAAAUCAAUUGCAGGGGGGCAAAUAGCUUUUUGAUUAAGAUUCCCUGAGCGCCUAAUGAAGAAAGCUCUCUGUAUAUACCCUCCUCCUGCUCCUCUUCUUCCUCAGUGUGCUUAUUGAAGGGGAAGUUGGAAUCUAUUAGGAUGAAGAGCUCUCGUCUGGUUAGUGGGAAACAUGUAGACCUCUAGACGUGAGAGAUGGAGCGAGCCAGGCAUUACAGAUGGAUGGCGGGCAGUGGGCGUAUUGAUCGCGCCCCAAAACUCAUCAAGCCGUUCUGAGAAAAUGUCCAAUGGAUCCGGCAGCAGGUCUGCUCAGCCUCUCGGCCUCUGUGGUUCUCUGGGUGGCUAACGACAAAUCUGCAGAUAUAUGUCAUCCAAACAUACGGCAGGCUGCAGCAUUAGUCAUCAACUCCUGUUACAAGCUGUUUUUCCUCCCAUUAAAAUACUGAUAGUGUUCAUCUGGAGUCCGUGAGGCUGAUACAUGAGGGGAGCUGAGAUGGAGAUGAAGGUCAGGAAAAGAGAGGGAGAUGUCUUCAUGCAGUGUGUAUGAGUACAGAAUAAGAGAUGGAAAAGUGAGGGGAGGAUGUUCAUGACUUUAUCAAACUGAACGAAAGUUCACAAAACUGUUAGCGAGAAAGUAAAACAAAGUCAAGUUCAACCUACAGUGCAAUAGCUGAUAUUAUGACUAGCUCAUAACAGCUAAGGGGGGCUUUCACACUUACAUCAUUUGGUUUGGACUUUCAGACUUUUCUUUUUAGUCUAUACCAAAAUAAUAGGUGUAAAACCACCCCAGGACCUUCAUCCGACUAAACGAGGUGGUUUCAGUCAGUACCAAACUGAACCAAGGUCUGAUUAAUGUCCGGCAUGAAAGCAUUAUUUUGAAAGGUUCGGACCUUCAGACCAAAGACAGGAAAUGAUGAGAGGAGUAGAAGUAUCUGUAUUUAUGUUGAAUGGAGAUUGUCUAAUAAUGGGUUUUCAAGAGUUUUACAACACAGACUUUUCUUCCAGUGACUUGCAGGAUUGUAUACUUUCUUUUCCUUUCCUGUCGAUGUCGAUAUAGUUGUCGUCUAAUGAUCAUAUUCAUGAGACUUCCUCAGACCAGCCUCAUGCACAGCUCCUCAGGUUAUUGCUGUUGGUAGAAUGAUAAUUUCAUCCAUGUUUACACCAUUCAAGCCCCGCGCUUUUCAACGUGUUGAUGUCAGACACCAACCUGCCUAAUAACCAAUCAAUUUAAACUACAGAGACACACAAAGCACAUAGUUGAUGACGCUAUCACGUAGGUUCGUAAUGUAAAGUCUGUUAGUCCAUUUUCAGUAAUGACAGUGUGAAACCCUAAACAGACCAAACCAAAUGUAUAUAAUGUGACAACUCGCACCUUGGUCUGGACUUGCAGGUGUGAAAACACCCUUAGUUAACAAGUAACAGACUCCUGGUUUAUUAGAGAGAUUAUUGUCAUUUUGACAUGAUCAACAUCAUUUGGCAUCAGCUCCUUAAAUGCUAAUAUCACUUAGAUCUUCUCUAAAUGAUAAUACAUCCACAUUAACAGAAAAUUAUAUCUAACAGUCAUUGACUAGUGCUUUUAUAGUGUAUUAUUUAUUUUACAUGUAGUAUGAACAACAAUAUCAGCCAUGUUCACCACUUUUGUAAAACUUGUGGAUUGACUUAAUCUUGGCUAAUCUUGACCUGUUGUUUGGUGCCCUGCAAUUAAUGACUAUUUCAUGAGUGACCUUUGAGUGACCUUUGUAAAUGAAAUAAUGGGAAAAUAACCUCAUAUCCUUAAAACGUAGUAAAACAGAUCUGUUAAAAAGCUCUACACAGUACCCAUCAUUCACUGAGGCCCUUAUGCUCAUGAAAAAGGUAGAAAAAGGCCCCCAACUCAUCGAGCUCAUGUCUGCAAUAUAAUGAAUAUCACUUAUGUAAUAAAGAUUGGGGGCUCUAUUUUCGUGCCCGCCGGCAGUGCGGUGGAGGGUGGCGCACCCCUCGCAGUGGUAUUUUCGUCUUGUGGAGCCCAGUGCACUGCCAGUUUGGUAUUUUUGUAGACUGAGGUGCACCAAGCUGGGCGUAGUGGUGCAGUAGGGGGGGAUGUCAACAGAAUCAGUUGGUGCAGUGACAUUUGCGUGCUCGCCGGGGACAUGGAAAGUGGACGCUUUCCCUUUUGGUUGAAUUUCUGACCAUGACAAUACCAAGUGGUCUUUGCUGCUGCUGCUCCUCCUGCCUUGGCUUUUCAUGUAUUCAUAUGAAACAGAGGAUGAUUGCUCUACCCGCCUUAAACUUCUGCACUCCUUAUGUGCAUGUGGAAGAUGCAAAUAAUUAAUUUUCUCUGACAAAAGUGGUCCUGAUUUAGGUGGUUUUUUGUAGAACUGUGAAACAUGUAACUACUAGGAAUUUUUAUGCACUGCUUGGACCUCUUCCACCAAAAUCAAUAGAGAGUUUUGGAUUAGGAGGCUUAAAGUGAUGGGGGCUCUCUGGUCAGAUAUUUUUCUGGCUUUAUUUUUCACUUGAAUGAAAUUACAGUACAGAAAACAUUUGUCAUUUUCCUGGAGAUCUUCUUGAACCUCUCCACUCGUCCCUGCCUGUCCCUGGACCUGUCUCUGAGAGCCUCUGCAGUAUCCAUCAUCCUCUCCAUGUGUCCAGCAGAGCCUCUCCUCUCCGCCUGCCCUCUCUGCUUUCAUAAGAGGCUUUCUGUGUCAGUGAAUUUUCUGCACCCAUGCCUCCCGUCCACACACUAACCCCAGGGGCGCUGCCUUGUUUUAUGCAUGUCCUCUUCCCGUCGCCAGGCCCAUAAAUGGUCUCUCAGCAGGGGAAAGUGGGCCAGGGCUGCUGCCUGCCACUCACAUGGGAAGUGCAGGGCAGCUGAAUGCCACUGAUGGUCUGCCCCGAGUCUCUCUGACUGUGGCUGAUUAACCUCCACCCCCCUCCUCUCCAACCUCCCUCCUCCAUGCCAGCUCCCGUCCUUAAUACACUCACAUACUGCUCUCUCUGACUCCAGGAAACUGACUGUAAAACUCUGAUUGCACGGGUCAUCUGCUCACAAACUGCUUGGUUGUGAGGGAAGCAAACAUCCCCGAUAAAUACACGACGACGGCGAGUCCCUCAUAGCCUGAGGAAAAUUUGAGUGCAGAAGAAAAAAGUUUGGCAGGAGUCUGAGAAAUCCUUGAAAUAAUUGGAGAUACUCUAUUCCAUGACAUCCAAACAGAUGGUCAAGGAGUGAAACAGAAGCUCAAUUUGAAUUCCUCAAACACCAACUCAUCUUCAUGUCUCUAGGCAGAAAGACUCAUCAAGUUCCCAAAAGCUUAGACGGAUAAACAAACACUUUAAAAGGAAUGUGUCAUAUCUUGGUAUAAAUGCCUAUAUAUGGAGAAACCUAGAUCCUUGAGGCUGCCUCCAAGUGAACCUGAUUACUGCUCUUUUUAAAAUGCUGAGUUUAAAGGAUGAUUUCACAUUUAUAGUGCAGAAGAUGUGGUUUCUUUAUGUCCUUUUUUAAUUUAAGCAAGGUCAAAAGUUAGGUUGAGGUGAUUGAUAAAAUUUCCAAAGAUAGAUUAAGGAGAACACUUUGAAUUUAAAAUCCUUUAUUUCAACUUUCUCUUUAGUUUUGCACCAGACGAGCUUCAAACUAAAGAUCUCCACACCCCCAAACAGUGAGCGAGACAUUAAAGCUUCUCCAUUACUGCAUGACAUGGAUUUUUUAAAAUCUCUUAACCCUGGAACACUAUCACUAAAAUUAGUAACAUCAUCACUAUCGCCAGGUGAUUUUUACCCGAAAUAAUAUACCCAAGAAAAAGUACUUGUCAUCAAAAUAGGACAAUCCAUGACAAAAUAUAACUGAAAUCAUUCAUGAACAAAAAAAUCCCCCCCCCCCCCCCCCCACACACACACACACACACACAUUUUCCCAUAUUUUUUCCAAAUAUUCACACUUAUGUCACUCAAAACAUAUUUUGGUUAAACAUUUGGGCUAAAGUUAGCUGAUAGCAUUGGGGAAACAGAUACAAUUAGCUGGUCCAGUGUGUUCAAAUGUUAAUAUUAAGCAACAUUUAGAGGUUCGAUUCUAAACUGAAGCACUCCCUUGCUCACCCCUCUUAUCUGUGCAGCAACGGUUGCCUUGAAUGUCCCUCAAGAAGUUCCUAAAACUCAUCAAAAACAUCUGUUAGUGGAUGUUCUGUUGUACUCCUUCUGCCACUAAAACCUCACUAAAAACAAAAAUCCCUGUAAAAAUAUGUUUUUGUUACAAAACAGAGGUCUCUGUGAUGGGAGAUCCACUCUAACGUAGAUAAAGGGUCUUUAUGUGUUAACAAAAACAAAACUAGGUGAUUACCUACUACUGCAGACAGACUUAUAUUUAAUGUCGGCUGAGUCUGCUCUGAUAAAUGCUGCUGGAAACCACACUCUGGACCCUUGAGGGAGCUUGGCGUUUGAACAUCUGGUGAAAAAAAAAUCACGCUCUCCGCUGUGGGGUCAUUUUGAGAUUCAGUAUGUAAACUCUAAAGCCUGUCGUGUUGUUUCUCUAAAACUGAAUGUCAUGUCCUUCGUUGAGUCAAACCACCGACUACAGCUUUUCAGACUUCCAGGCUGGAUUUUGUUACUAAUCUCUGGACAUGGAAAUCUUUGGACUAAGGGGCACAAAAGUUUGCAAAGUGUUUUGACCAAGAAGGAUCAUGCUGAAAAUGAACAUGCUGCUCUUUCAAAAUCUCUGAAGAAUGAGCAUCAACUCUUAAAGUUAAGCUGACUUUUCUCCUCAUAAGCACUAAAACCAGUGAAUGCGGGUCCUCCAUACUGUUGACCAAGUAAGAAUCAUUGUUAAUGGACACUGAGGAGAGCUGACAGCAUGUUGAGAGUUAAUCAGAGCACAUGAGAUGAAGACAUGGACAUGUCAGUCAAUGUUCGGUCCCUCCCUUACUUUCCUGAUAAUGAAACAAUUGCACAGUUUCUUGGUUGGAGCUGCUCUAUAAUGCUGGGGGUCCCCGGACGCUCCCUGAGAUAGUCUUCGACAGACAAAUUAGCUGCAGAUUGCUUUGAGCCGACAGAGAGGAAAGCAGCAGAAAGAGGAAUGAGUCUCCGUCUUACUGUAUGCGCACUUUUGUUUGUUUGUAUGCACUGACAUUUCAAAGCUUUUCUAUUCUCUGAAUGUGCUCAGCAUCAGAAUCAGGACCUCCUCGUGUUUCCGCUGAUGGACGGAAAGUUAGCAGUCUGAAACUUCUCUUGUUUGGAUACAUAUACAUCCACUGAGCUCAGCGGGGGGGGCUGUGAGGUGAGACCACUGGUUUUACAUUUAGAUGAAGCUUUUCCUAAAAGUUUUUGAGUGCUGUUUUGGUGUAUACCAGACACAAACGCAGACUAGAAAAAAGAAAUUGAAAUACUUUUGAGUCUGUUCAUGUCAUUUUGGGUCAUAAGGAAAGUGCAAAAAGUUGUAAAACCUCUCAACUACAUUGCUCCAGCAUGCAAACACUUAAUGGACAUUAAAGUCAGUGGGGUAAAUGGGCCCACCAGAGUACGUUCACUUCAGGUGUGUGCUUUUUUCAGGCCUUACUUGCACAAAAACAGCCGCAUUAGAGUCAUCAGUCUUUCCUUUGAAUGAAGGAAUAACAUCAUUGCAUAUAGAUGUGUAAAAACGACUGAAACACUAGAGCACAGACACCGCUUAGUCGUCUGCCAUUGCUGUUAAUGUCCUCCUACUUGUGCAAGACUCUUGAACGAGGCUGUAACAUCACUAUCACUACAGAAUAUGUUCUUAAGUGGAAAACAUACAGCAUCUGUACUGAUUGUUUUGUGUUACUGAUAAAUCCAUAACCAAGAAGUAUUUUAUCUACAUGACCUGAUACACAGUCGGGAGUCUGCAUAUGGUGUUUUAUUUUGAAACUUACCGGAUGACAUGCGCGGUUUUUCGUGCUUGACUUCCUGUCUAGAAUGAUCUUCUCUUGUGGCUUGACAUGUGUUGGAAGCGUAGAGCAGCAAAAACAGACUUGGUGCGAAUCUUUAGCAGAGCUGCGCUUGAUACGCUUCUAAAGGUCCUUACAUGCCAGGAACGACGCAAAUAUACGACACAAAAUUAUGAAAAUUUCGGAGGUGAAUUUUGACAUGCCUGACUGUACACAUCAAGCACGAUGCGAUUUUGCGUCUUUCCGGGGGGAAAAAAGAUGCGUCCCGUGAAUACAUAUGGUAUGUUGUAUCUGAACAGGUUAGCUUACGAGCUAAAGUUACUUAGCACUAAUGAAAGUCAAACAAAGACGUUUAGCAAACUGUUAAAGCACACAAACCAUCAUCAUAUGAGAAAUCUAACGCUAUGACUCUCCACAAGUUGUCCUUCAGGUCAUUAUCUUUGUAAUGUUUGUGUUUUUUUAUCAAAAAGCACUCUGUUCUCGUAAACAAUCAGCCGGUCAGCCAUGUUGGAUAUACCAGUGAAUCUGACGUCACAACAACACGCAAUCUGAUUGGUCAGAAGUGGACACACAGUAUGUGAAACUUUAGAAAAUACGACCGUGAUCUGAAAAAAUUAAAUGCCGCAAUAUCGCAGGAUGGGAAAACGUCGCUGAUAUAAACGGCUGUAUUGACAGGAUACGGGUUCGAAAAAAAUAGAAUAGACAUCCAAAAUAAUCGCACAACAAAAAAAAAAAACUAGCCUGGUGUGUAAGGACCGUCACUCGACGUUACGGUGUUUUGACCCUUAAUUAAUUUUACGCCGAAAUAUCCCUUUAAUUGUUCAGUAGUUAGUUCGCCGUGUUAGGGGAGUGGAAGACAUUAGCCUGGGGUUCCCACUCCGUUGACUCGCUCUUUCCGCGUUUUGACACACCCACACUGUCUUGCGAGGUUAGCCGACAGACAGAAUGUGAUUGUAAGGUACAAUACCGAAAUUUCACCAAAGUAACAGAACACCAGUAAGGGAGUGAUUGGGACGGAAAAAACAACUAACCCAGACAACAGCUUUCACUGUUGAUGAAACGCUAAUGAAAGUUUCUAUUUCUGACCUCUUUUGUUGGUUUCAGAUAAUUUAUAUGUUUAACGCUUGUCAGAUGGCCCCUUGAGAAUUUCUGGAAUCAUGCACUGGUUUGCAGAGAUUAAAGUCCUCGAAUAGGGUGGUCUGGGUUUGAUUCCAGCUCUUUCUUCCUAGUUUCUGAAUCUGUGCACUGUCCUCUCUGUGGAUUAAAGCUUGAAAGCUCAGUACUCAACCAAAAGAAGUUGCACAACAUCCCAAAGUAAGAAUUUGUCACUGCAGAAGUAGACAAACCACUUUUUAGUAGAGUUUCAUGGCAUCAAAGAAAAAAAUGUAACAGCUGAUUCAAGGCAAAAUAAGGUAUCCCAGUCUCUAAGAAGAUCUUUGUCUGCAAAAUUCGACUGUGAUACAUAAAAUAAAUGCCGCAAUAUCGCAGGAAAACAUUGCUUGUAUUGACAGGAUACAGGUUCGAAAAAAAUAUACAAGUCCAACAAAAAAGCUCCAGGUGUGUAAGGACCUUAUGCAACGAUGCUACAAUGGAGCUGAUACGUGUCAUGUGUGAUGCUGCAUUGAUUAGAAUGGCAACCUAAGUGCUGCGUGACAUGCGGCGCUGACAGAACACGCUCAACACGGAUCCUGUAUGUUUUAGGCUUUAGAGUUCAUGACAGAACUGGUGGUGUUUCCAUAAUCCACUCUGCACUGUGGAUUUAGGAUUGUUUAACUUGGGCCUCGUUGACACAAAAACCUAACAUUGUGAUGCAGGAGUAGACCAACAGCUCCCGUGUCCUACAGGGCAAACUCGUGUUGUUUUUGUAUUGAAUUCAGAGACAUUAAGGAGCAGUUCGUCGGGGUUUUGGGCUCUACUCUGCAGGGAUCCUUUCUGUAAUGUUGUCAAAGAAACAAGAACUUUACAAGGACGUACUUUCACCCCUGAAGCUUACACUGCAGCCAUUACAGCCACUUCAUAAAACAAGCAACCAAACUCAAUCUGUUAGUGUUCUGUUCAUCAAGUAGAUCGCAGAUAAAACAAAGUUGGUGCUUUAUGUUUGUAUGCAUUCAUGCUCUUGAUGUUUUGUCUUCCUGCCUGUUCUUUUAUAGUCUAUUACUCAUCCAGUGAUAUGAUGUCAAAGGAAGAUGUCUCUGCUUAAAACUGCAGGCUCUGAACUGGUUUGGAUUUGGGAAACUGGGCUGUGCUCAGACAAAAAAAGUAAAAUAAGCACUUGUACAAAACUCUGAACAAGUGAAAGCGCUCGCAGGUAGAGAAGUGGAGUCUCUCCAAAAUGAACCCUUUUAAGUUGAGCCUUUAAUGCUCCGGCUUUCAGAUAUUCUCUGCAGGGUUACAGCCGCUCUCAGGCCUGCCUGCUAAACUUUAGUGGACUAAUAACCCUGUAUGCUCCAGAGCAGCAGGAAGCCAGCUCCAGGGAUGUGUGUGUGCCUUCAAAAAAAUUAAUUUAUGGAGGUGAAAAUGAUGCUUCGAAUCCUUGGCAGAGGGGGAAAUAUUUGUGCCUGCUGCAGUGAAUGCUGAACGCUCCAUCUCCAGUCUCUGCAUUUCUUUUGUAUGGGAAGUGAUGGGGUCAGUGCAGACUGCUUUGAACCAUAAGCAGAGUCCAGAUUUAACUGUCAGGUAAAUCCCUCUGAGCCGCAGAUCAAAGUGCCAGAUGACAGCUCGCUCUCUCUGUAGACCCAGCAGCAGAGAAAUGUUGGGCUUGUUCCUGAGCUCACAGCUUUUUAUCGGGGAUAUUUCAGACUUUGUGAACAGCCAGCAUGCUUCAAUUAACUUUAACAUGUAGUGAUCGUCUGUAAUCCUCUGGUUUGCAAACAUUAAUGCUUUAAGUCUCCUCUUUUGGAGGUCCAUUUUAUUGUCGCUUUCACAGAUUGGAUAUAUUUGUUCACCUGUUCAGUGCCACGGCUUUAUGAAUUUGAAGAUCUGGUUUCAUCAGAUUUGAUUUUCCCUCUGAGAGAUGCAAGGACAGAAAAACCCUGCACACAUAAUCUCAUUUGGGGUUGAUUUUCAGCUUUUAAUUUUUAAAGAUGUUUGCAGGUUUGCACAAAAACCAUAAUUUAGGUUUUAAUUGAAAUUUGUCUGUAUUAUAUUUUAGAGCAAAUGUGACUCAUGAGCAGGCACGAAUGAAUUCAUCAUACAGGACUUUUCCCCAAACACAAGUCUGGUGUAGUCCUUGUCUAUUUUCAGUUUAUUUCUGAGCAAAAAUCGUAAAAAUGUAACCACUUUGUUCAUAAAAAGUAUGGUGUAAUUUUUUUUCUCUGGUCUGAAGUAACCAAACCCAGAUACGUGGCUGCCAAUUUCACCCAUUUUUGGACAUCUUCUUUAUCUGUUUGGUGAAACUUGUGAAGCAGAAGCAGUGUUUGGGUUUUAGUGCUGUGCCUUAGACACAUUUUAAAACUUUCAUUUUGUUCAGUUUCUUGUAGAGGUUGUUCUUGAGACGUGAUGUGACUGGGCUGAUUUCAACCAAAGCUGUCAGGUACCAGUUUGAUGUAGUCGUUCAAUCUUGCAGAGCUGGAGCUUGUCAACAGGUAAGGCAGGCAGUUGUUUGGGGCCCCAGGCCACUAGGGGGCCCCCAAGGGCUGUCAAACCUUUUUCCACAAAAAUGUCCUGAAAUACUGCAACCCCAUUCAACAGCUAAUGGUCAAAAUGCAAUGACAUCUUAGACGGAUACCCUCCUAAAGGGGCCCCAUUAAUUUAAGGUCAAACACACCGUAACACUACGUUAGACACCCCCUCGAGAGAUGAAUGUUGCCGAUUGCUUUCUUCUCUAGUUAUGCCAACUUUAGCAAAGACCACAUACAGAGCCACACACAAACUUCAAUCAAAACGCCACUCUAUAUCAUUUCUUUAUCGUUUCCUUGAAGUAAUAAUCACCAUAUUAAUCAUUUUGCACUGCAGACGCAGGAGUUCCUCUGCCUUCGUGUCCCAGGUGGAAGGUUGUUGCUUUACUUUCAACGUUAGGUAACAACCGAGACCUAAUGGUGCUGUGACAGCAAUGCAAAUGAGUUUGAGAAAGUGAAAAUACAUAUGGUAUGUUGUAUCUGAACAGGUGAGCUUACGAGCUAAAGUUACUUAGCGCCGAUGAAAGUUAAAACAAAGACGUUUAGCAAACUGUUAAAGCACACAAACCAUCGUCAUAUGAGAAAUCCGACGCUAUGACUCUCCAGAAGUUGUCCUUCAGGUCGUUAUCUUUGUAAUAUUUGCGUUUUUUAUCAAAAAGUACUCUGUUCUCCGACAUGUAAACAAUCAGCCGGUCGGCCAUGUUGGAUAUACCAAUGAAUCUGACGUUGCAACAACACGAAAUCUGAUUGGUCAGAAGUGGACACACAGUAUGCGAAACUUUAGAUAAUUCCACCAUGAUAUGAAAAAAUAAAUAAAUAAAAAGGAUGGGAAAACGUUGUUGAUGUGAACGCUUGUAUUGACAGGAUAAGGGUUCGAAAAAAAAUAUUGACGUCCAAAAUAAUCACACGAAAAAACUAUCCCGGUGUGUAAGGACCUUAACUCGACGUCAUGGUGUUUUUGACCCUAAAUUAAUUUUAAGCCGGAAUAUCCCUUUAAUUGUUCGGUAGUUAGUUAGUUUGCCGUGUUAGUGAAGUGGAAGACAUAAGCCUGGGGUUCCCACUUCGUUGACUCGCUGUUUCCGUGUGUUGAACAUCCACACUGUCUUGCGAGGUUAGCCGACAGACAGAAUGUGAUUGUAAGGUACAAUACUGAAAUUUCAAGUAACAGAACACCAGUAAGGGAGUGAUUGGGACGGAAAAAACAACUAACCCAGACAACAGUUUUCACUGUUGAUGAAACGUUAUUGAAAGUUUCUGUUUCGGACUUCUUUUGUUAGUUUCAGAUAAUUUAUAUGUUUAACGCUUGUCAGAGGGGCCCCUUGAGAAUUUCUGGAAUCAUGCACUGGUUUGCAGAGAUUAAAGGCCUCGAAUAGGGUGGUCUGGGUUUGAUUCCAGCUCUUUCUUCCUAGUUUCUGAAUCUGUGCACUGUCCUCUCUGUGGAUUAAAGCUUGAAAGCUCAGUACUCAACCAAAAGAAGUUGCACAACAUCCCAAAGUAAGAAUUCGUCACUGCAGAAGUAGACAAACCACUUUUUAGUAGAGUUUCAUGGCAUCAAAGAAAGAAAUGUAACAGCUGAUUCAAGUCAAAAUAAGGUAUCCCAGUCUCUAAGAAGAUCUUUGUCUGCAGGGAUCCCUUUUGUAAUGUCAGACACUCACUUACUUGCUGACUUUAAGGUGAGUCCCUGAGUCUCUGUUAAGUCGGUGAGGGCUUAGGGGUGUCAGUGAGUACGAGACUUUUGAGCCCUUUAUGCACUUUUUCCAUAAGUGGGCAUAUCUGCAGAUUUAGAGUGAGGGAAUUACACCUAGUUCACAGCACUGUGACGUGAACUAUGGGAUCUCCAGGGGAAGCCUGCAAGCAUGGAGGGGUGAGAGAGAGACUGUAAACAAGACGCAACAACCCCAGUUUCGUCUAAAUACGAAAAAAUGCCUAUCACAGUCCUAGGUAGAAACAGCACUUUACAUUUGCUACAGUUUCUUGCAGGCGUGGUCCACUCUGCAACAUAAUUUAGCUAAUUCAGAGAGACUCAUCCAAACACUCAUCUCAGCCUGAAUGUGAGCUCUGCCCAGAACAUUUUCAGCACUUCACUUUGCAUCAGAAAGCCCAUUUGUUUGCAGUCAGGGUCACAGAGUGCUGUCCCAUUACUAUCUACACCAUUUUGGGUCUGCAGCCUUUGCACUCAGUCACUUUCCAAGUGACAUCAAUUAAAUCCCUAAGAGCUCAGGGUUUAAGGUGGAAAUUGAGAUUCAGCCUUUAAAUAACAACCAGAGUUCGCCAGUGACAGAAAUAAUAACUUUGAAAGAAUGGACUCUAAUCUGCAGCCAUCAUUGCCCGUUUCUCUCGAUCUGCCUCCGAUGUCACUACACCUGCAUAUUUUUGUGAAUGAAUAAGUCUUGGAUGAAUCGUUCUCAUGAUUAGCCUUUAAAUAGAACAAAUCUGAAUGAAUGCAUGCCAACCAGGAACCAGGACCAGCCCUUGGGACGUUCAUCGUUUCCUUUUUAUCAUCAACGUUUCAAAUUAGCCCAGACCUUAAACCAUCCAAAACCCCUAUUUUUGGAAUAAAAGUAUCUGGCAUGAUGAUUAACAUCCAGAAGUUAUGUUGUCACAAGGACAUUUAAGUCAUGCAGAGAUGAAAUUUUACCAAGACACAUAGUGGAAAGCUUCAAGUCCCACUCCAAUCAUUUUUUUUUUUAAACUACUUCAAGUGUUAUCAGUGGUCUUGAAAUUGUGAUUAUGGAGUUUUUAGCCAAAAUCACUAAGCUGUGUCAUUGUCAAGGACUUUUCUUCUCCAGUAGCUUAUUAGCAAAAUUCGCCUCUGAAUCGUAGGCGGAGACAGUGCUGCUCUGUACAAUCCUCUUCAUGCUAGCUAGCAGCCUAAUUUUGCUAGCUUAGAGGAAGUAGCAGGUAACAUAGGAGCUAUUCAGCCCUGCGACACUAAUGUCUUUAGGGACAUGAUGGACGCAAAUAUCAUAAAUAACUUUCUUAUGAGCAGUGCAAUCAGCUAACACACACGCUUGUUCCGUGAUCGUCCUCUGUGCUGGAGCUUGGAUUUGCUACGUUGGCAACUGUGUCUGAGCCUGCCUUUUGGGUCUGCUCGCGAUUCUCAGUGAUUUAAAUGCAGAAAUACUCAGAAAUACAAUUUCGCACUUAUUUUUCUCAUGAUAUGUCCUGUAGCGUCAGAAAAAUUCCAUAUGAACAUGUAGACAACAAGAAAAACAUGAUUUUUAUCGGAGAUUAGUGUUUCACUGUCACAAUUUUUUUAAAUCAAUAUCCACAGAAAGACAAUAAAAUUAAAUCAAAAUAAUGGAGAAAGGCUGUUUUUUUACAUUUAAUGUUUGUUCAGUCAGGAUCACUUUAGUCAAGUUUUAUUAUUUAUUACAAGCAAACAUUUUUACAUCGGCGGUAUGGCUCUGUUCUGAGGGUUCCCUGCCCUUCCAUGUGCUUGCACAGAAUGCCACAGCUAUACACCAAUUCGGGUGAGCGGUUUGUGUACACCGCCAUCUUGUGGUGGUGCCAUUGCUGCAGUGUGUGACAUCAUGAAGUUGUCAUGCUAUCAACAAAUAAACUAGUAAAUAGUGUCUCAGAGCAUCAUUGACAGCAUGAGUGAAGUCACCUGGUUUGAUGAUGUCAGACAGUGGCCUCCGGUUACUAAUGAAGGUAUCUUAAAUUAAUACCGAUAUUAAUUUGGGAAUUAAUAAGAUGAAAAGAAUGAAGUAUUUCAUUGUGAAAUACUGAAGUAGGAGGAAAUGUGUGUGUAAACACUGGCUAGGCUACAUUUAUACUGACCCUCGCAAGCUAAUCAUUAUGUACAAGCCUACGUGGUUAAAAAAUAAUGUAGGAAUUAAGUAUUUGUUUCGUGGGCGAUCAGUGUUAUGCCGAGAAAUGCAUGCCUGCCAAGAUCUAAAUGCGGGGCAUGGGAUCGUGCACAACUGAAUGGAUGUUACAUUAGCUCAGCUCUCAGCAACAUGGACAGUCUUCUUUCAGUAACGGCAUGUGCGUCUCACAUAUCGACUUUUUCCACAACUGUAGUGUUUUACUGUUGUUGUAACAGCCGAUGACGACACACGUCCUCCCAGACUGUCUUGACAUAGUUGUGCAGGGUUGCUUGUGUCGCUGCUCGCUGCUUACAGCACUGCUUCUCGUUCGCUUCGCACACACCGCAGUAAUGGCGGCCGUACUACUUCUGGUCAUUUCACCGAAUCAGUGUAUAAGAGGGGAGAGCUCCUCCCCUCCCUUUCAUGUGCAUACAUGAAUGCUUCUUAUUUGCUUUUUAUGACCUUUAUAUCAUAAAAAUGACACUUUCUGUUGUUACAGGUUGUUACAAGUUAAACUGACCUUUGAGGUUAUUCAGGAUCAUGGGGAUGGUCUGAACUCAGUCUGGAGCUUGGUUUUAUUUGAACUAAUUUCAUAUAAAAAGUUAUGCUGAUACUAACUACAACGUUCCAAUUUGUUUCAGAUCACACUUCCAAAUUUAAUGUUUGUGGAUAAUUAUGCGUUGUGCCAGAUGCUUUUAGCAAGACCAAACAGCCCUGAGCUGGUAGAGGUCUUAUCAUCCUUAGAUGGCCUACAGUCUGGGUUAACUAGGAACACUAGAGGAAAAAAGAAACAGACAAACCAAACCCCAGGGCCUACUUAAAAAAAUACUUUUGUGAGUUUUUUAGUCAUGUAGACCUCUCAGUGUGUAAUAGGAUUUCAGAUAUCAGAGUUUUGUCUGAUAACAAAAGUAGGAAAGCAGACGAGGUCUUCUGAAAUACGCUGCUCUUCUCUCUUUAGUUUACUCCAUUUGUCGGGCUUUUACCUGACGUCUACAUAAACCUGAAACCCACAGUGUGAUAAGUCAGAGUAUAAGGAUGUUCACUCCCUGGUUUUUGUGUGAUAUCAGACUAAUAACUCUGUUGUGUUGGUGCUUCAAUUCACGUCUGGCUCUCGGAGAGAAGUUUCACCCACACUAAUGGCAGAAAGCAGCUGAACAGGGUGAAAGGUAGAGAGAUGGAGAUGGGGCUUUCUGUGCACUCUAUAACACACUGGGAGAAACCUCUGUGUGUAUGUGUGUUUAAUGGAGGGCAUCCAACACUGACUGAAACACAAAAUCCACAGAGAUGAUCGAGUUCGCUGCUUAUAUGUUUUUAUAACAGAGUAAAAGAAAUGUCAGGAUGUCCUUUUAUGGGCCUUACAGGAAGUUGGUUUAGCCAUCCUGAGUUUGAGAAGUAUGUGAUCACCGCAAGACCGACCCAAGGUGUAAGCUGGAGACUCAGUACAUGACCAGACAAAGGAGAAGACCCUGGAGAUGUAUUCAUUGUUUGUUUCUUCUGUGAGAUGAUAAAAGUUUCUGAACCUGAGAUCUGACCAAAUCAGUGCAACUCUCAUGUGCGUAACAGUCAGAGCAGAGGGAGAUGCUUACAACAGUGUGGAUCAGUGGCGGAUUUAUGGGGUGGCUACUUGGGCUCAAGCCCCGGAUGUUUUCUCAAGAGCCCCAGGAUCUUGGCUCUGAGCUGGUCUGGGUUUAAUGUGCAGUAUUUGAGGUCACCAGAGAGUGGCAGAAUGCGCAGGAAAGCAGCCUGUAGCCUUCCUGUUUAGAUGAAGAAGUGUUUCCCUCUGGUGGCUGUUACUACUCUUCUACUCUACUGCCAGCAUCUAACGACGAGUCAAGUGACUCCACGGCAAAUUUUAACCCAUUUAAACCAGGACAGCUUGUGCGCAUUUCAACGUUCCAAGCCGGGAGCGCGGAUACGUCAUUUUGUAACAUUCUGUAGUUUUUCAAUCAUUUCUGGAGUCGUGGCGAAUCAAAUCAUCAUACCCGUCUACCUCUGACUCUGGCUAAUAAAUCUUAAUAAAGUGAUCGGGUUCAUGCUCGGAUCUUGCUACAUGCUUUGUGAGGAAAGUAAACAGUGACGGAGGCAGAGAGCAGCUUUGGAGGAGAAGAAUCCAGCAGUGCGAACAACCUCUCCAUAUUGAGUGUUUUGGCUCACACUUUAAGCGAUUCCUGUGAGUGUUUCAUGACUUUGGGUGAGCACAGACAUGAACACGCUGUCAGCAAAGGCAAAGAAGAUGAAAAAGGGUUGAGAAUAAAAGAUUGAAGAACAGAGCGGUAAAGGACAGCAGAGGUGCCAGCCAGGAUCACGGGUAUAGCAGUAAGGAAAUAAGAUUCAUUUAUCGUACUUUAUUUUACAUCUUUAGUUUGUGUCCUUUGUGUCUUUUGCCGGCUUUGAAAUGGUGGUAAGUUGAAGUAAAAAAAAAUUGUAGUUUUGUGUGCGUGGCAGCAAAAAAAGACUGAAAAAGUUAAUCGGCAUCUGCACCCUCAGGGCUGAGCCCCUAAUCGCCUAGAAUCCUCGAUCCGCCCCUGGUGUGGAUGUUCAUGAAUGUCUAAGAUAAGCUGCUUUUCUUUCUCCUUUCUGUUGAUCUUUGACAAAUUAUUUUUCUAGAAACUGAAAACAAAAUAAAAACAAAAAUCCCCCAAAUCCCUCAAUAUUUUAUGAUUCACACUUACGUCAAACUCUGUUUUAACUUCAGCUCAUCACAUACUGACUUCUGAUCUGUUUCAAGGCUCCCCUCAGUGACUGUUUCAAAGUCUGUCUCAUCCCCGUUGUUCCCCAAGUGAGGUGAAGUCUGAGUGAAGUCCAGUGUGCCUCGGUGUCUAAUCAGUGAGAGGACUGUUGUAAAAGCUGCUUUCAUUCAUCCUCUCUUAUCGUUCCUUUGAUUUCCCUCCUCUCACUUUGACCCUCUCCCAAUCCGAGCUGAGUUCAAGUCUUUGGGGUGCAAGUUAGCGAGACGAGUUUGUAAGUGCUUACCGCUGGACGGUGGGAGGCAGCUGGAGUACCUGGAGGGAUCCAGCUCAUGCGAACAAGCAUGUAAACUCCACAUAGAGAGAACCAAGCCAAGAUCAAAGCUCAUUUAUGCUCAACGUUACAUACAGAUCCGGAUACGGACUGACCUCUCUGUACGUGCCUCACAUUCUUUUUCUCUGUAUUUCUGUUUACAGAUUUGGGCUAGAUGGAGCAGUACCACCGGAAACCAUGGGGGCAGUGUUGCUACUGUCACUCCCCUAUACGCAUCUCUGUAGAGAAAUGAAGAAGACAAUGGUGGGGCUUUUUGAGGAAAUGUUGUGUGAGCAGGUACUCAAUUACAAACAUAUUGUCCGGGACACGGGGAUAAUAAACUCCGGAACAGCUGGGAGGAAAUUUGGAGAGAGCUAAUUGUUAGCUGGUCAGACGCGAAGGAGAAAAUCCACAGUCGCCAUGUUUCUUUUUGUUUGUUGUUGUCAGAAACUUUUAACUCCAGCCUGCCCUCUGGUGGAUGUAAUGUAAUUAACAUCCAUGCCAACAUAAAGGACGCAUGGAAGUAUGUAAGCAGUGACAGAACCAUCAUUUGAACUAGAUGCGUACAUUUUCAUAUGUACGGUGAGCAUAAAUGAGCCUUUAGAACCAGGACAACCCUUUUAAAAAUACGUCAACCAGAUAUUCAUAAUGAGUCAGUUAUGCAUUCAAUCCACAAACUAAGGAGGUUUUUUUUUUAAUCAAAGCACACAACAGAGCACCAAUCUUUGUCCACAGGGGGCGCCAAAUUUAAACAAAUUCAAAUUCAAAAGAGCGUAAAGGUAUAAUCUGGUGUAUAUUUAAGUUAUAGUCAACCACACCGUAAGACCUGGCGAGUCGAUCACCAAGCGGAAAAUUUAUGAUUAUUACUUUAUGGAAAUGUAAUUAGACCAAGACACUAAGACAGAAGAACUACCACGUCUGCAGUGCAAAAUGAUUGAUAUGAUGAUUAUAACUUCAAGGAAAUGAUCUGCUGCACAUGGUGAUCGACUUGUCAGGGCUCCCCCCACAAAUAAAAGGCUGCUGGAGGAGAGUGGGUGAGUUGUGUUUGGUCUUUUUGCCAAAGAAACCAGGCAAAGCUAAAAAGAUAUUUGGUGGCUAGUACUUUGGCUGGGACCCUAUAUGUACUGUUGAUGAAGUUAGGUGCUGUUCUGAGCAUUAUUUGUGUCUAUAGAGUGGCUUUUUGUUUGAGGUUUGCACGUGGAGAUGUAGACCGCUGUGUAUUGCUAUCGUGUGGUCGUUACUAAAGUUGUUAUAACUAAAGUAACAAGCAGUCCUCAACAAUCAUCUCUUGAGGGGGUGUCUAACUCGAUGUUUCGGUGUGUUUGACAAUAACAAAUUUUCACCAGAAUAUCCCUUUAAAUUGACAUGCAAAUACACAGUUUUUGAUAAAGCAUCCUUAUUUGCAGCAGACUGCCUCUGAAAGUGUAAAAACGUAAUCUUUUUGCAAGAUUGAAACCUUAUUUUGUCUGCCAAUACCUUCAUUUGAGGCCAUUUCACUUCAAAGCUUUUACCGUCCUGUGGUGAUUGCAUUUUAUUCUUCAUCCAUCGUUGUAGUGGUAAUGGUACUACUUUCUGCUGUCUGGCUGUUCACUUCCAACAGCGUCUGCAAGAGCAAAGUUGCUGUUUCAUGCAGAUGCAACAAGAGAUUUGAUUGAAAGUGUUUGAAUGGUUGCGUGAUAGAUUUUGUGUCCACACGCUGAGAAGAAAUGACUUUAUUCUCUCUGAAAUAUGAGCAAACGUCGCCCAUUUCCAGAUCUGAAUCACUGCCUCCCCAUGGUUUGAAAAAUUCAAGCAUAUUAGAGCCUCUUGAAAGAAAUUAGAAAUAAAAGCUUUGGUCACAAGGACCCAUUUUCAUCCACCUGCAUCUGUACUUUAAGUAGAAUAUAUGCGAUGGAAAAACAUGGAGAGUAAUCAUCAGAUAUUAUCCAUUUACCCAAUAAUUGUAACAAAAUUAGAGGUUUCUUUCUGCAAGGCUUUUUAAGACGGAUGUAGAAAAUUUCUCUGAUGUUACCCACCGGAGAAAGACAUCUUCAAAGAAAGCUGCAGUACAGAUACAGAGUUGUGUAUCUGUGUGUACAUGUGUGUAAAAGUGUGCUGUGUAGAGGUCAGGGGGCAUCAGUGAAAACCUGAUCUCCUGUUAUCCUCCAGCCAACCUUGUCUUGCUCUUCAAGAAGUGCCUGAAAAGCUCUGGUAGCGCAGCAGCGGGGUGGGAAGCUUUAUUUGCAUUAAGAGUGAGUAAAAAAAGAAUUUAAGGCCGGCUGAAAAAUCAGAAAGCGUUUCCAUCACUCAUGGUAAUGAGACGGCACUGAGAGUGCAAACCUCCAUACCAGAUGAACUGCUCCUGAACUAGAGUUUCACCCACGAGCAUCAUUUCUUUCUCUUAGAUUUCACUUAAUUCGCCUUCUUGACCCUUAAAAUGUUCCCCGAGGAGCUGGACUCUCUGCGAGCUUCAAAGAUGAGAUAUUAUUGUAGAAAUAUAGAAAAAAAAGAUAACAAACCAAUUCUGAGGGCAAUUGUUCUUUGGCCUGAGAUCUGUCUGUUAGAUUUUACAGAAGUAUAAAUGCUUUUUUUAACCAAACUGUGGCAGAGAAGAAGAAUAAAAGCUAAAUCUAUGCUUCUAACCUCUUAAAAAAAAUCUGUUUUUAUUUGACCUUUUUAUCCUCACAUGACAAAAACAUGAAGAGACUGUAAGUUUGACUGUUAAAGUCCUCAGACAGUUGUCAGGAUUAAUGGGUCAAAUUAAGGUUUGCUUCCUUAUUUCUAAUAACUAUUUAGUCAUUUUAGUCAUCACACCGCAUCUCUAGAAUCAACGUUUCCUUUUGAUCCACUUUCCUGGGGUCCGGGGGGUAUCAAGCCAGUCGACCUAGAAACGUCUCUCUCUUUCUCCAGCAACAUUUUCAAGCCCCCUCCUGAGGGAUCCUGAGGUGUAUUCAGACCAGAUAGGAUUCGUACGGUGGCAUAAAUGUUUCAGGAGUGUAAUAAUGAAUACUUCAAAAACACAAAAACAUUUUAAAAAAUGCAACAGUAUUCCUUUUUGUGAUGCAAAGGAUCAACAGCUUUACUCCAAAACUACUACUACUACUCCUCCAGGAGACUCAUUCUGUCCACCUGCAUUCACAAUUUCAGUUUUCCUGUCACUAACCAGAGCCCAGAUGGGAAUCAAGAACUGGAUUCAGAUCAGAACAGGUAUUAAACUACUUCAGGACAUCAACGUAUUUGCUGUUAUGCUUGACAGUAGACAGGAGCCGCCCAAAACCCUGUAACACAUAGACUCCAAACACACUUACGGCAAACUGAGUGACAGUCAAACAAAGGAAGCACUUCGCACAUCUAUGAAAACAUGACAGGUGCGUUGGAGAAAAAAGACCAAAAUACAAGAUAAUAGAUAAAAUACAUAAAAAAACCAAAAUAAAAAAUAAAAUAAAUAAAAAGACAACAUAAUGGCUGCCUAAUUUCUAAAAAAUGUGGAAACUGCAAAGGUUUUUGUCAUCCCCAAGAUUUUUUUACUAAUCAGUAGGGGCUUAAAAAAUUGCAGCAAAAAAGCAUACAUAUAUAAAUGGACAUAAUAUGUUGUGGGUAUCUGGAUCACUUUUUCUGUUGUUGCCAUUCACUCAGUGUGUGUAGUUCAAAAUGCACAAAAUGAACUUUGAAUCAUUAUUAUUAGAUGUAUAUUUUGAUGAGCGAUGUGCCCUUUUGUACUGGAUAUGGAGAUUUGUUAAUUAAAUAUGUCUGUUUUUAACUUACAAUGUAAACUUAUCUCCUAAUUUUUUUUUUUUUAAAUACUGAUUUAUUUAUAAUCGAUUCACGAUGUUAUGGAUUUCUCUUCUGGACGUGUGGGUAUUACUUUAGACUGAUGUCACACAAAGUGUUUUGUUGUUUAUUUGCUGUCUCUUUGGUUAAAUUACCCGAUGAUGAUGAUGAUUUUGUCCCUCUGUGUUUACACGUGAGAACGGGAUUGGUCAUGGAGAAACGACCACUCCCUGAUGAAGGUCUAGCACCGAAACGUUGCAAAUUAAUGAUUGAUAGCAAGUUGGACAGUGUGCGGGAAUCCCUUUGCUACAAACUGAGUGACAGUAAAAUCUACUCGCUCUGUGAGCCCGACAGCUAAACCCUGUGUGUGUUUUUCUGCCACAUCCAGGAGCUUUUCCACAGAGAAGAUCAUAUUAUUUCAGGGGCUGUUCCUCAAAAACAAAGGUUAUCUGUGAUAAGGAAUCUCUGUCGUUAGCUGACUGUGCUGAUCACAGACUUUGGUUUUCUCCAUGUGGAAAAUCCACAUGAAUUGAUGUAGGAUCAACAAAUGGUUGGACCAAUUUGCCUAAUCAAUAAUGGCAUUAGUAUUGAUAAAAUCCAGUGAAGUAACAUCCAGGUGUCGACUCUCUGCUGCUGCGAUUUUUCCACCUCCCGCCUUUUGACUUUCAGCUCUCAGUGAACCAGAAGCGUCUGAAACUAAUGGAGAGCUGAUGCGGAAUAAAUAGAAACACAGUCGCGCUGUGAUUGUUGACAGAAUGACACCUUUCUCCUCACAACCGCCAAUCAUAACAGAGCCAGGCUGUGGCCAAUCAGCAGUCAGCGUGGAUUACUUUCCUGCCAAACAAAUAAUCCAUCUUAAUCCAGCGCGGCAGCUGUGUGACGAUGGCCUCCCACCCUGCCACUUAGCGUGGGACAGAGCGAGCUCUAAUGCAGCCGUAAUGAAGCUCUGACACACUUUGUUUCCUCACUGUGCUGACUCAUACAGCCGGGGACAUGCGUGAUUACACAAACUAAUGCACAGCGCUUAUGAUUUUAUGUGAUUAAGACAAAAAACCUAAAACCAAGCGGGGAGAGCGGCGGUGCUCACGCUGUCUGCCAGCGGCUAAUGGGCUGUGAGUGACCGCGGUCUGCCAGCGCUGCGAGGCGCGUCGGCUCUGCUCAGGUCAAGGUCAUGGAAUGGGUUGUUGUCCUCACAGCCAGGCUCUCACUCUGGGGUUUGUCGUUUUUGUCUGAGGUGAGCGUGUGGAGGGAUACCUGAGGGAUUUCUGUUUUGCAUCUGCUGUUUGUAAAGCAUUGUGAGUCUCUUUAUCUGAGUGUUUUAGUUGCCUAACCUGCAAAUUGAAUUGUUUAGUGGGAAAGAUUGUCUAGUUUUUAAGGGAAUACUUCAAAAACAAAUGUGCAAAAAAAACACAGUUAGACAAAAUAUUGAAGAGCACAAAACAAAGACAAAGACGAAACUGUUUAUUUUUUCUGUAGAAACUUGUCUGUGCAAGAUGGCUGCCACCACUCCUAUAUAUAAAAAAACUAUAACAAAAAUAAACCAUAUUUAUUUUACACAUUCUUUGAACAUGGUCCUGUUAUUUCAGAGGCAUUUUGUAAACAAGGAGGAAGAUAAUCAGCAUGUUAUUUUAAAGAGAAGUGAGACGUCAUUAGCCUGCGUGUGGAAGUUAUGAAGCCGGUCAUGGUUGUUCAAGAGAAUGAAAGUUUGUAAAUGCACGCUACUCUUCCUGAAUGAAUGAAGGGGCCAAAUUGAAACACCCAUGAAGAGACGAGGACUCAUGGGUACACUAUCGCGCCUUCCUGUCCUGCUUUCUCUUGGAUAUCUAACUGGAUGUUGUUUAUUUGUUAUCUUGAACUCUUGUCAGCUUGUCUGCAUAACCAAGACCAAGACCCAGAUGAGGUCAUUAGGAGUUUUGAGUUAAAACGACCCAAAUCGAAUCGUCUCCACACACCAAGCACGAGUAGAAUCAUUCGCUAAGUCAAUGCAAAGACGCAAUUGCAGUACUUGAGAUCGGUCUUGGUCUUGAGACCAAUUUUUUUAGGGUCUUGGUGUUGUCUCGGAAUCAAAGGCAUUUUUACUCGGUCUUGGAGUGAGCAGACUCUGGUUUUUGAACAGCGGUCGAGCUUAUAACUUCACAUCAUUGGUAGUAAUGAUUACCUGCCCAGUGUCACACAGUCUGACUGACUGACACACCCCCUCCAUACAGAGAGAGGGCGGAGACGACAGGAGUAGAGGCUGUCUUCAUGCUCGGCACCCGGUGAACUCGUCAUGAAAGAUGUCUACCAACUCAGCAAUACUUUGGUUUCCAUUAAGUUUGGUUUCCUAAACCACAAGGAGUUUAUUUGUAAAACAACAUACAAGCGAAAACACUUGUCAGUGUGCAAAUUCUGCAGUGCACAACUCACAGAAACAGCUGGUACAACUUUAAACUUUUACUGUCACCUCGAGAGGAAGCAUAGAGACAGGUAAGCUAAUGGUUACCAUACAGUACUGUUGUAGUACUCAAGAUCGGUCUUGGUCUCGAGACCAUUUUUUGAGGGUCUUGGUGUCCUUUUGGAAUCAAAGGCAUUUUUCACUCGGUCUUGUCUCGGUCUCGGUCCUCUCUGGUCUCGGUUGGUUUGGUCUUGACUACAACACUACGUUUUACUCUGACGGCACGAAUGACGCAUGUGGGCAUGAGCUGAAAAUGUCUCAGCUGGAGCAGAUAUUCACUUUGUGAUAGCCAACCAGCAUGAAGGUUGCAAGGUGACAUGAAAACAGACUUUUGUUCACUGGUAUCUAAAAUGGAGGACAAACUGAUCAUGUUGGUGUGGGGGUUCCCAUAAUUAUACAAAACCUUUUCUUUCAAUUACCCAAACCGGAGUAAAAAGGAACUCGCCUGGAGGAAAGUGAAUGAAGAGGUCAAAUUACCUGGUAAAUUGUAAAAAAAAAAAUUGUGUAUCACUUGAUCCAACCAGUUGAAUUGGCAGGAAUUACCGUUGAAAUUACCGUUGACGCACGAAUGAAGUGAGUAAAGACUAUUCAUUCUCACGUCUAGAUUUGUGCGAAUUAAGAGAGUAGAUGAUUUUACUUGCGCUUGGUGUGAGCGCCCCAUAAAAGGCUAACCUCAGUUUGACCCUUCAGAUCCCAAACACACUGAUAUUGCAGCUAAAUUGAAUAGAAUUUAUUCCUGUGAGGAUUUUCAUUCAUGUCCACACACCUUUCCGCUACCUGUCAGGUGCUCAAAUUAAAGCCAAUUUAGCUGUUUGGACGUCCUGAGAGACUGUCAGGUGGAUCUGAUGCAAUGGUAUACAAUAGCAAAAGAAAAAAAAAGCAAAAUACGGACAUGCAUGAUGAAAGAGCUGAUUCAAAGAGACAGAAAAACAGUCAUGACGGAGGAUUUCAGGACUGCUGAUACUCUAGCUCGGUUUUACUUAAAAACAUGAAUUAAACUCCAACAAACAGCAGCUGCAGCUCUGAAGUCUGCUCCUCACUUUAUGAUAUUUAUUUCAUAUUGCAAUCCAUGACACCCCAUCUGUCUAUCUCCCCGACACUGUGGCAGCUGUCGUUCAUGAUCUGGAUCAAAAAGCUCUCUUGGUCAGCGGAUCGCUCAGAGAUUUCUGCGUGCGUCCCAAGGUUGGAGAGAAACUGAGGGGGGACAUCAAUCCAAAUUCAUGAAGUUCAGGAGUGACGGGAGACAUCUGCAAGGUGCACUUCUCCGUUUGAGGAGUGAGGAUCACUGACAGGUCAAGGAGAGAGGAGGGAGGAGAUAUCUUUGCAAAACAGAAGCUGGAAACACUGUCGGCACUCCAAAAUAGAGAAGAGGAGGAUAGGAAAGAGGAAAAUGAAUAAAAGAAACAAGGGUCAGAACUCGGAAAGAACGAACAGCACAACAAACUCUCGUCUAACUCCUACUCACUGCUCUUAUUACAACCUUCUACAGGCCAAAAGCAGCAUUUUACAGCCGCUCUUCAGCCGCAUUCCCUUUGAACUCAGAAAACAUGAAACCAAUUUACAGAUGAACCAUAAAAAAGAAAGAAAUGACACUCAUGUUAAAUAGCAUUUUAUUGAAACGUCUCCAGAAAGGUCAAAGGUUAUUGAGUGGGAGGUUCGAGUUGUUGAUCCACCGCGUCAACAGUAAGUUUUUCAUCGCUGUUUUUUAGUGACUUUAUUGGCUUUUUUGGCCCCUGACCCCCAGUCCAUUUUUGAUAUUGGAGUCCAAGUCUGAUACUUAUGAGCUGCAGCUAGUUUUAAAACAAAAAAAUCCAAAGAUGUCUUCUGUUUAUUCUGAUAGAAUACUCACAUGCCGUACCAAACUUUCCAUUUACAGGAUGAUUGUGCUGACUGUUUAAGUCAUGUUGUGUGUGUCUAUGUGUUCAAACUUUGUUCAAGUUUGUUAUUUAAGUAAAAAAAUGAAAGUGAUAACUGAAAAGGGGAAAAUCAAUUCUUGCCUGGUGCUUUUAGACCAACUAGGUCCUUACAGGUCCUUACACACCGGGAAUGACGCAAAUAU
This is a non-coding RNA of Xyrichtys novacula (pearly razorfish), 53332 nucleotides long. Lineage: Eukaryota; Metazoa; Chordata; Actinopteri; Labriformes; Labridae. The record is from the annotation of a GenBank genome assembly.